Molecule: long non-coding RNA, 74617 nt
Filed under: Spirodela polyrhiza (greater duckweed)
Lineage: Eukaryota; Viridiplantae; Streptophyta; Magnoliopsida; Alismatales; Araceae
Description: long non-coding RNA (SPOL_LNC000507)
Rfam family: Antisense RNA which regulates isiA expression (bases 48415-48592)
Source: RNAcentral
CCCUUCAAUCUUCUUAAUAAGAACCUUCCUUCCAUCCUUCUUAUUUAGAAACCGUGGACCUCAGCCACUCUCCCCUUCCUUAUGGGCUAACAUUCUUGCCAAUACAUUAUCUUCAUUCUGUUCCGGAUUGUAAUCUCUAAUGAAGAAUAUAGCUCCAUGAGCAAAGGCUCCUGUCAUGAUGAACCCUGCAAUGUAUUGGUGAUGAGUAUAUAAAGCAGCCUGAGUAGUAAAGUCUUGGGCUAUAAAUGCAUAAGUAGGUAAGGAGUACAUGUGUUGAGCUACUAAAGAAGUAACAACCCCUAAAGAAGUGUAUGUGUUGAGCAAGACCUAAUUGAAAAUUAAUCGAAUUAUAGGGUUUAGAAUCAUAGGAGGAAACAAAGAUGUAUCAUAUUAUUUAAAUUAAAACAAAUCUUAGGAAAAGAUCUAAAUGAUCUCUUCCUAAGAUUUGUUUUAAUUUAUUUAUAUAUUAUAGACUUCUUCUAUUUACAUAUUUAUAUUGUACUUAUAUUUUAUUUUUUUAAUUAAUAUUAUAUUAUAAGUUUUUAUAAAUUUUUUAUUUCAAUAAUAAUUGUUAUCUUUUUCCGACGUAAAACUAAAAAAAAAGAUAGCUUAUCUUAUAAAAAUGAAACUCAAUAUAAUAGUGAUAAGUCUGUCUAGCCCUUGUCUAUGGUUCAAAAAAAUGAUUCUAGAAUCAUUUUCAAUAAGCAAUUUACAUUAUUGAUGUAGCAAAACUGUUGGUGAUGACCCUUUGAGUUGAGCGGAAGUUGAGGUUGGCGGAAGAUGGGUUGAAAUCACGACUUGAAUCCUCAAAAGUCGAGAUUUUUGGUGAAGCCUCCUUGUCUUGAAUCCACAAAAUGAAGAAGCUAUUCCCUUGGUGCUCAAGGGCGGAUCCUGAAUCCAUAGAACCAACGAACUAACUCUUUGAGUCCACAAGGAUGCUGGGGUCCACUAGUAGAGGGAAAAAACUCUCAAGGAGAAGAAAUUCAUGAAAUUCUAUUCGUAAAAAUAAGUUCAAUGCCCUUGGACUACAUGAGGCAUCCUUAAAUAGGCUAGAGCUUGUGAAAAGGGUGCCAACUUUGAAUUUCAAAUGAAAUUUGAAAAUUAGGAGGGAAUUACAUUUGAGAAAGUUUAAGGAAUAGAAAUGGGCUUAAAAUAAAGUAAAAUAGGCUUUUCUAGAAGGUGGUGUAAAGGUAGGUGACAAUUAUGGAAGGAAAAUGAAUAGAGGAAAGAAGAGAAAUAGAAAGAGGCUUUAAAUAGGCUAAAAUAGGAAGGGCUGAAUAAAGAAUGGGAUUUAUGGUGGCAGCAAUAAGAUAAGAUCUAAAAUAGAAGGUAGAUGAGCUAGUGUAAAGGGUUCUAAAAAUAGAAGGGUCUAAAAAUAGAAAGUUCUAAAAAUAGAAGGGUCUAAAGAGUUCUAAAAAUAGAAGGUUUUAAAUAUAGAAAGUUCUAAAAAUAGAAAGUUGAUCUUCAGGUCUUGAGGUCUUCUCCGCCAAUGGAUGUGAUAUUGGCUGCAUCAAUUAUAGAAGAAACAAAUGUAUAUGUGAUGUUAUAAAUUCACUAAUUAUAGUUAAACAAUGGUAUCUCUAAUUAUAGCCCCUCUAGGACGUAAAAUAUAUCUCUUCUCACCAUCCCCAUAGUGUAUGAGACAAAUGUAUGUAUUUCGGUUAGGGUUGUAUUCUAUGGUUACGAUUCUACCAUAUAUGUCUUUUUCAUUCCAUCGAAAAUCAAUUUUAUGGUAUAGACGCUUAUGACCUCCCCCUCUAUGUCCUAUGGUAAUGAUUCCUCUAGCAUUACAACAUUUACCACAACAAUGUUGUCCAUAGAUUAAAUUAUUUUGUGGAUUGGAUUUCACUUUUCUGUCUACAGCUCUGUUGCAUGUGCUAGAGGUAGAAGUUUUGUAUAAAUGUAUCACCAUGUUAUUAAGUAUUUUGCUUUAAGUUCUUUUCUCUAUAAGAGGUGAAAUAGAAUAACCCAGUUGAAGCGUAAUGAUCAUACAUCUGAGCCAUACUUGGUAUUCAAGUUUCCACUACAAAGGAAAAAUCUGAAGCUAGUUUUCAAGAAACCGCUCGAGUUUUAGCAAAAGCUGUUCUAUGAGAUUGUAUUGAUUGGUUGAAAGGCCUGAAAGAAAAUGUUGUUUUGGGGGGGAAUUGACGCAGCGAAACUGUUGGCGAUGACCCUUUGAGUUGAGCGGAUGUUGAGGUUGGCGAAAGAGGGGUUGAAAUCACGACUUAAAUCCUCAAAAGUCAAGAUUUUUGGUGAAGCCUCCUUGUCUUGAAUCCACAAAACGAAGAAGCUAUUCCCUUGGUGCUCAAGGGUGGAUCCAGAAUCCACAAAACCAACGAACUAACUCCCUAAGUCCACAGAGAUGCUGAAGUCCACCAGUAGAAGGGAGAAACUCUCAAGGAGAAGAAACUCACGAAAUUCUAUCCAUAAAAAAUAAGUUGAAUGCCCAUGGGCUACAUGGGGCGUCCUUAAAUAGGCUAGAGCCUGUGAAAAGGGCGCCAACUUUGAAUUUCAAAUGAAUUUUGAAAAUUAAGAGGGAAUUACAUUUGAGAAAGUUUCUGGAAUAGAAAUGGGCUUAAAAUAGAACGAAAUAGGCUUUUCUAGAAGGUGGUGUAAAGGCAAGUAAGAGUUAUGGAAGGAAAAUGAAUAGAGGAAAGAAGAGAAAUAGAAAGAGACUUUAAAUAGGCUAAAAUAAGAAGGUGCUGAAUAAAGAAUGAGAUUUAUGGUGACAGCAAUAAGAUGAGAUCUGAAAUAGAAAGUAUAUGAGCUAGUGUAAAGGGUUUUAAAAAUAGAAGGGUCUAAAAAUAGAAAGUUGAUCUUCAGGUCUUGAAGUCUUCUCUGCCAGUGGAUGUGAUAUUGGCUGCAUCAAGAAUUAUACCUGUUGGUACUGGAUUCAAAAAAUUAGUACAUCAUUUAAGGUAGCAUAAAAACAUUCAUUUGGAAAUCAAAAAGAAGAAUUUGUUUGAAGGAAAGAUGAGAGAUAUCUUAUUUCACCAUAGAGAAUUUUUUAUUUCUUGCAUCUGAAACAACUUUCAUUAGACAUCAUAACAAUCAUUUACAUGAUUGAAUGAUUCCUAACCUAAAGACUAAAUUUGUGCUCAUUUUUUUAUUAUAAUUUAAUAAUCCGGUCCCUAUUUCUUAUUUGAUGAAAAAAUAAAGAUCAUAAUCAAUUAAAAGUCUCUAUGAGGCUGAAAGGAUCUAGAUAGAGAAGAUAUUCUUCUCGCCCUGAACAUUUCUCUCCUAACUACAACUAUCACAGGUUUCACUACAUACUUUUAGCAUUUUUACCUGGUAAAACCCUUGCCCUUUGAUUUGUGAUUGGGAUUUCCAACAGGGAUCUUGUUCACACCUUAUCAUAUGGGCAUGAUCUGCCAGAUGCUUCUCGAUGCUUGCUCUCCAAAUUGGGUCUUUACCCCCAAGCAAACCGUUUCAUCGAAUUAGGAAAACUUUUCAAAUGCAUGUGUGAAAAAUGUGAUCAGAACUUAUAUCUUUCCCUCAGGUAUGGGUGGUAGGUGAGGUAAAAAUAAAGUAUAUGUGAGAUGUAGCACCAUCACAAGAGGUAUGAGACUGCGUACUAGAAUAAUUUUAUUUCAAGUAAUGAAUUAAUUGGUUUUUUUCAUAUGAAUCCAAUAAUGUCUUUUUUUUUAAUUGUACAACGUUGAUUGACUCUAUUUGUCCAUUUUUGUGGUACUAAUUGAGACCAUUGAGUUUGAGAUAAAUUGUAUUCUAGAUAUCAUCAUAUACAUCUAGAAAGCCAUAUGCUUUGGAAGAAUCUUGUAUAGUUUGGGAAGGGGCUUUUUUGAUAAUAAAAAAAAAAAGAAUUUACUUCAACCGAUAUGCCCUAUCAUUUUCCUUAGAUCCCUUAUUUCACUCCAAUAGUAUGAUGUAUCUCAAUGUAUGCAAAGGAAAUGGAUGCAUUUCCAUACUAUAAACUAUAAACAGGUAGAAUAGAUAGAACAUAAUAUAGAUAAUGUCACAUCACCUAUUUUACAGGAUCUUAUAGAGCCUGUUCAUGCAUGACAUGGAUUUGGGUAUGAUCAUGGAAAAGAUUCUCCUCAAGUGAACUNNNNNNNNNNNNNNNNNNNNNNNNNNNNNNNNNNNNNNNNNNNNNNNNNNNNNNNNNNNNNNNNNNNNNNNNNNNNNNNNNNNNNNNNNNNNNNNNNNNNNNNNNNNNNNNNNNNNNNNNNNNNNNNNNNNNNNNNNNNNNNNNNNNNNNNNNNNNNNNNNNNNNNNNNNNNNNNNNNNNNNNNNNNNNNNNNNNNNNNNNNNNNNNNNNNNNNNNNNNNNNNNNNNNNNNNNNNNNNNNNNNNNNNNNNNNNNNNNNNNNNNNNNNNNNNNNNNNNNNNNNNNNNNNNNNNNNNNNNNNNNNNNNNNNNNNNNNNNNNNNNNNNNNNNNNNNNNNNNNNNNNNNNNNNNNNNNNNNNNNNNNNNNNNNNNNNNNNNNNNNNNNNNNNNNNNNNNNNNNNNNNNNNNNNNNNNNNNNNNNNNNNNNNNNNNNNNNNNNNNNNNNNNNNNNNNNNNNNNNNNNNNNNNNNNNNNNNNNNNNNNNNNNNNNNNNNNNNNNNNNNNNNNNNNNNNNNNNNNNNNNNNNNNNNNNNNNNNNNNNNNNNNNNNNNNNNNNNNNNNNNNNNNNNNNNNNNNNNNNNNNNNNNNNNNNNNNNNNNNNNNNNNNNNNNNNNNNNNNNNNNNNNNNNNNNNNNNNNNNNNNNNNNNNNNNNNNNNNNNNNNNNNNNNNNNNNNNNNNNNNNNNNNNNNNNNNNNNNNNNNNNNNNNNNNNUUGCUUACAUAUCAUUAAGCAGUGCAUUAACAUAAAUACGGCAGUAAGGAGAGGUAAUACAAAAGUGUGUAAACUAUAAAAACCAGUCAAAGUGGAUUGACCCACACUAGAACUUCCUCAUAAUAACUCUACUAAAGGUGAUCCUAUUACCGAAAUGGCAUCAGGUAUGCCCAUCACAAUUUUAACUGCCCACUAACCAGUUACACCAAAAGAUGCAGUCAAUACAGCCAGAACUACACCGGUAACCCAAGUUAAUUCGCAAGGUUUUUUAAAUCCGCCUGUGAGAUAUACACGAAAUAUGUGUCAAAUCAUCAUUAGAACCAUCAUACUUGCUGACCAUCGAUGAACUGAUCGGAUUAACCAACCAAAGUUCGCCUCAGUCAUUAUGUAUGGAAUAGAGGCAAAGGCCUCUAUAACAGUUAGUCAAUAGUAAAAAAUCAUAACAAAACCCAUAGCUACUUGUACUAAAAAACAAGUGUGAUCCCUCUAGAAAAUAAAAUAUGUUGAUGUGAGGAGGAACAAUGUUCCAAGGUGUGAAGUGGGGAAGAAGAGAUGUCAUAAUUGGGGUUUUGAAUAAGACGAUCUUUGCAUUUUUCAUUUUAUUUUAUUUUUCAUAUUUUAUAAAAUAAGAGGUGUUAAGCUUUUUAUCAUUCUGGCUCAAGCCAAUUUUCCGCAGGACCACCAAGUUCUACCGUCACUGCAGUAGAGUUUAACCACCAAGUUCAGGAUGGAUUGGUGUGUUUCCUCUACGCCUAGUACACCAGAAAAUCAAAAUAAAUAUUCAAAGAAUAAAAAUAAAAAAGAUUCCAUAGAGACAGUUAUGAAUUUGAUUGAGUUCCUGUCACUUGACCAAACAACCCCCAAUUCAAUUAUUUCAACUACAUUGAAUGAUCUUUAAAAUUGGUCAAGACUCGAGUUUAUGGCCGCUUCUAUAUGGUACCAGUUGUUGUGUUAUUGAAUUUGAUGCAUUAAUAGGCUGCAUCAAGUCCUAGGCAAGUGGACUUAAUUUUAACAGCUAGCACAGUAACAAUGAAGACAGCCUUCUUUAGUAAGAUUAUAUGAACAAAUGCCUGAACCAAAAUAUGUGAUUGCUAUGGGAGCCUGUACUAUUACAGGAGGGAUGUUUAGUACCGAUUCUUAUAGUACUGUUCGGGGAGUCUUGAUGAGUUAAUUCUUGUGGAUGUUUGUUUGCCAGGUUGCCCACCUAAACUAGAGGCAAUUAUAGAUGCAAUAAUGAAACUUCGUAACAAGAUGUCUCGAGAACUAUAUGAAGAUAGAAUUGGCUCUCAACAAGAAAAUUGAUGUUUUACCACCAAUCACAAGUUUAAUGUUCAGCGCGGUAUUCAUACUAGAAAUUACAGUCAAGAAUUGCCCUAUCAGUCACCAUCUACUUCAUAAAUACCUUCUGAAGAAUUUUUUAGAUCCAAAAAGUGAAUUGAGUGGGUUGCUUUUGCGCAGAAUGAUGUAGUGAGCCAAUAUAACAUCUAUUGGACCAGAACACACGAAGACCUGAAGAUCAAUUUUCCAUUUUUUUUGAAGUUUCUAUUUUUAGAACUUUCUAUUUUUAGACCCUUCUAUAUUUAGAUCCUUCUGAUAUUUCGUUCACUUUCUAUUUUUAGACCUUCCAUCUUUAGAUCACUUUCUAUAUUUAGGUCUCAUCCUUUCUUUAUUCCCCUUCUAUUUUAGACACCACCUUUUAUGUUCACCACCUUCUAAAAUCUAUUUAACCCUAUUGAAAACCUCUUUCUAUUUCUCUUCUUUCCUCUAUUCAUUUUCCUUCCAUAAUUGUCACCUGCCUUUACACCACCUUCUAGAAAAGCCUAUUUCAUUCUAUUUUAAGCCCAUUUCUAUUCCAGAAACUUACACAAAUGUAAUUCCCUCCUAAUUUUCAAAUUUCGUUUGAAAUUCAAAGUUGGCACCCUUUUCACAGGCUCUAGCCUAUUUAAGGACGCCUCAUGUAGCCUAAGGGCAUUGAACUUAUUUUUUAUGAAUAGAAUUUCGUGAGUUUCUUCUCCUUGAGAGUUUCUCCCCUCUGCUAGUGGACUCCAGCAUCCUUGUGGACUCAAGGAGUUAGUUCGUUAGUUCUGUGGAUUCAGGAUCCACCAUUGAGCACCAAGGGAAUAGCUUCUUCGUUUUGUGGAUUCAAGACAAGGAGGCUUCACCAAAAAUCUCGACUUUUGAGGGUUCAAGUCGUGAUUUCAACCCAUCUUCCGCCAACCUCAACAUCCACUCAACUCAAAGGGUCAUCACCAACAAUUUCGCUGCGUCAAGUGGUAUCAGAGCAAGGUCAACUGUCCAAAUUUAUAUCUCAGAUUCAUUGGCAUCGAGAUACUCUCUUUGGGUGUUUCAAAAUUUAGUGCUCGUAUUCAAAUUUUCAGCAUAUCUUUGAGUUGUGCAUCAAGGAUUUCUUUUCCUUCAGUAUCAGUUUUUGGAAUAAUUCAAAUCAGGUCUUAUUAAUCCAUGUUUGAAAGAUGAGUGUAGAAGAUGAUCAUGUUCAACAUCACAAAAUUUUUAGAACAAGAUUCACUGUUUGCAAGAAAGUUGUUAAAGUGAUCAUUAACAACACUAUUGGUGCCAAUUAUGUUUCAACAGACAUGGUUCAAAAAUUAGGGUUGAAAAGAGUGGAACAUCUUGAUCCAUAUAAAUGUGAUUGGAUCAAGAAAGAUUGUGAAGUAGAUAUUACAGAAAGAUGUUUAGUGAAAGUUUCAUGCAAGGACAAGUAUUAUGAUGAAAUUGAAUGUGAUAUAAUUGACAUUGAUUUCUGUCAUAUGCUGCUAGGAGGACCUUGGCAGUCUGAUUUAAAUGCAACAUAUAACUACAUGAAGAAUCAAUAUGUAGUUUACCAAGGUGGACAGAAAUUAGUAUUCCGUUCUCUCAAAAGUUUUUCAGAUUCUAAGAAAAGUGCAGAAAAUCAAGUUGCAACAGAUGUAAAGAAAGAUAUUACUGUGGAUGUUGUCAUUCAUCUAGGACCAAUAUUUUCUUAUCAGUCGACACUUGAUCAUAUUGACUUUCUAGACAUUUGGAUAAACUCAAAUAUACAGUGUUUAGAUAGUAAGCCGGAUGAACAACUACAUCAAAGAGAUUUAUCUCAAGGAAAUAGCAAGAAAGAGGCCAUUCAUGGAGAUAGAAGCUCAAUCCAUGCAAGUGUCAAAGGAAAACAAUAUCAACAGCCAAGUAAAUUUUGGAUAAAUGCUUUCCUUAUUUUUGACGACCAGAGAUUAAUAGUUAGACAAAAUUACAAAUAUCUGACACCAGCCUCUAUAUGUUUAAAAGUUCAUUGGUUCAACUUUGGCUGCAUGUAUAAGUCAAAACAAAUAAACUUGUGGAUCAGUUCCAUUCAAGUUAGAGAGACUGAUGUAGACCAAGAAAUCAUAUCAAAUGAAGACAUGAAGAUUUUUGAUCCAGGCGGACAAAAACUACAGGAAAAUGUAUCAAGGAAGCUGAAGAAGCCUUAGUUCAAUGUGCCACAAUUUCAGGAAUAUUGUCUUGCAGUAACGACAACUUGAGGAUGAGUUAUUUUGAAGAAGAGGAGACUAAUGAGGCCCCAUUUCAAUACAACUCAAGAAUACCAAAGAACAUGAGGCGUGAAGACCUAUUUAGAGUCAACGAUGCUACCUAGAAAAAGUUUGCUACUAAUCACACGUGGACUAGUUCUCUUGAAGAAGGGGAGACUGAUGUAGUGAGCCAAUAUAACAUCUAUUGGACCAGAACACACGAAGACCUGAAGAUCAAUUUUCCAUUUUUUUUGAAGUUUCUAUUUUUAGAACUUUCUAUUUUUAGACCCUUCUAUAUUUAGAUCCUUCUGAUAUUUCGUUCACUUUCUAUUUUUAGACCUUCCAUCUUUAGAUCACUUUCUAUAUUUAGGUCUCAUCCUUUCUUUAUUCCCCUUCUAUUUUAGACACCACCUUUUAUGUUCACCACCUUCUAAAAUCUAUUUAACCCUAUUGAAAACCUCUUUCUAUUUCUCUUCUUUCCUCUAUUCAUUUUCCUUCCAUAACUGUCACCUACCUUUACACCACCUUCUAGAAAAGCCUAUUUCAUUCUAUUUUAAGCCCAUUUCUAUUCCAGAAACUUUCUCAAAUGUAAUUCCCUCCUAAUUUUCAAAUUUCGUUUGAAAUUCAAAGUUGGCACCCUUUUCACAGGCUCUAGCCUAUUUAAGGACGCCUCAUGUAGCCUAAGGGCAUUGAACUUAUUUUUAUGAAUAGAAUUUCAUGAGUUUCUUCUCCUUGAGAGUUUCUCCCCUCUACUGGUGGACCCCAGCAUCUUUGUGGACUCAGGGAGUUAGUUCGUUGGUUCUGUGGAUUCAGGAUUCGCCCUUGAGCACCAAGGGAAUAGCUUCUUUGUUUUGUAGAUUCAAGACAAGGAGGCUUCACCAAAAAUCUCAACUUUUGAGGAUUCAAGUCGUGAUUUCAACCCAUCUUCCACCAACUUCAACAUCCACUCAACUCAAAGGGUCAUCACUAAUAGUUUCGCUGCGUCACAAAAUGACAAAAAGCUUCAAUCUUUAUAAAUUUCAUUGUAAAUAUGAAAUACUUAUACAAAUACAAAUGUGGGAGAGAUCAAGGAGAUGCAGAAUCAUUUAUCUGCUUGGAUGGUCAAGCAUGAGCUUGUUCAUAGAUCCUUGGGCUUCAAUUACCAAGGAAUAGAGACUUUACAAAUAAAACCGGAAGAUUGGGACUCCAUUGCUGUCAUUUCGUAUGUGUACGCUCUCAAUGUGCCUAUGAUGUCACACCUGGCGGAUUUUUAGCUAGUGUAUAUCAUCUUACGAGAGUACAGCAUGGGGUGGAUCAACCGGAGGAAGUAUGUAUAAAAGUAUUUGCCCAAGGGCAAAAUCCUAGGGUCCCAUCUGUUUUCUGGGUUUGGAGGGGUGCUGAUUUUCAAGAACGUGAAUGUUAUGAUAUGUUGGGAAUUGCUUAUGAGGAUCAUCCACGCCUAAAACGUUUUUUUUGAUGCCUGAAAGUUGGAUAGGCUGGCCUUUACGUAAGGACUAUAUUACCCCCAUUUUGGCAAAUAAAAUACAUAUCCUUCCACUUAAUGAUAUCCUAUUAGGAAUGGCUAAACGAGUACAAUCCGCUUGGCAUGAUGAUUUCAUUAUCAAUCUAGCAUCCGCAGUUAAUAAAAUAUGCAUCUUAUUUGCCCACUUUUAUGGACUUCUGUGGCAGGAUCUAGCAAGAUCAGGGGUCUUACAUUUUCAUGAAACAGAUCUACCAAGAACUUUAAUCAUUUUUGAUAAUACAUACGUGUCUCCUAACAUUUAUAUGAAUGCACCAGAAAUGAGAGAACAAAUAGCGAUAGCUGCUGCUUUUAAGUAUAGAAAGCGUAUUUCUACACAAGAGGCUAUCAUGAGUUCCUCUGCAUAUCUAAGUGAAUGCGAACAAAAUCAUGUAAUAGACGUUGCUGUUAAAGGAAGUGAUCCAUUUCAAUUUACAUCCAAAAUGUUAUGUUAUAAAAGAGAUGAUAAUUAUAAGAAUGAACCUAUGAAUCAAGAUGCUAGUGCUAGUGCCUAUCAGAUUGUGAGUUAUCCAUUACUUAAUGAAGAAAAAGGCCCAAAAGGGUAAUUGGGCAUAUUUCUGAUAGGAGAUCAGAACGUUUUCCCUUGGAGAUGGAAAAUAUCGUCCCCCAGGUUUUUUUAUCAAUUUGCAAAUCUUGCCUCGAAACAUCCAUUUGUAAAUGGGUAUAGACAGUAUUUCAUCAUUCUCCGUGAUAUUGACCACAUUUCUGAUCCCUAUUUGCAUCCCAGUGGGUUGGUCUAAUAUGAGAAGUUAUGGGAAAGAGUAUAUAUUACAGCAUCUCUAAUUCGUGAAUUUCUAAUGAUCGCUGUGUCCUGCAUGUUGGAUCCUCUAUCUACUAUUUAUUCUAUGUUCUUCCUGAAAGUAUGCCGAUCCCUAUGUUGCGCGGAGCUGAGUAUCCUCUAUUCACUGGGAUAAAGAUUUUCCUCUGCAGGGGCCGUGUGCAGUAAACCCCCUACAGGCAGUCCUCUGUUGUCAUAAACUCAAGUAGUCCCCCUGAAGCUUCCGGGAAGAGGGGGUAGUCUUGUGCGUAAGCAUGGCGCUCCUGGUUGAACCACCGAACCACACAUCUUCUUUUGGUGGGAGGGUACCCUGAGUAGUGGGUACCUCGUAGGACUAUCUAUGGUUUUAUAUACAUUGAUAGCAUGAUAAAUAUAGUAGUAAUAUCUAUGGUUUUAUAUGCUUUUGGGCUUUAAAUUUCUCCUAUGUCAUGCUAGCAAUAUUAAAAUAAUGAAUGUGAGUAACUACUUCGUAUUUACUUCUAUUCAUGAAAAAUCAGUGAUAUACAUAUGAUUUAUGAUUUAUAUAGAAUUAUUGAUGAUUUAAAUAUAGAAAACAAUAUAUACCAUUUCAUGAGUAUUAACCUUGAAAUAUCUUGCAUUAAUUCAAGCACAUGUGCACAUUACUUCAUUUGUUUCUUUUUAUAACUAACCUUGCUUGACUUCUUGGAAGUCAAGCAAUUUUAUUAUUGAUGAAUAUUUUUAACAUAUGGUGUGCAGGAGUUUGGUGAAUUUAAUCAAGUAAUUAAUUAAAGAGCUUGAAGUAUAUUGGGCUGGAAGAAGAGAUGAUUUAGCUUUGGUCCAAGAAAGGCCCAAAGGAGGAGAGGGGAACAUGACCUUUUCAGCCCAAUCCAUCUUCAAUCAUUCUCUCUAAGAUGGGCCACAGAAUUGAAGAUUAAAAGGGGGCCCAAUCAAAGCAAGGAAGGAGAAAGGGCAUGUGAAGAUAAAUGAGAAAAGGGAGGGUUCUUUUGGGAAAAAUGUUCCUAUAUAUAAAACCUCUUUUUUUUUCACAUUUUUCCUCAUUCUAGAGAUUGCCCUAGCAGAGGCUAGCCGCAGGAAACAGCUCUCCUAGGAUCCAGAUUGAUAAAUCUGAAUAGAGGUGAUUAUUGCAAUUCUUUUUCUUGAUCUUUGAAGUGUGUUCUUGCUGGAGAAAACUACUUGGUCUGGGCGAAAUAUACAGACCCAACGUAUGCCCUUCUAGAUCUUGAAAAUUCAUGAUUCAUCUUCUAAUAUUCAAUAGAAACAUUAUUUCUCUCAUCCUCUCUCCUUACUUCUAAAAAUCGAAACCCUAAUUUAACAUUUCUUUUUGAGAUCUUAGACUUCUUGAUUUUUGCAAGAAAAUCAAGAUCUCCUUGAUCCUUCCUCCUUUUAUCAUAUUUUCUUCUCUCAAAUCAAUCUCCUAAACCCUAGUUAUAAUUAUAUAAAAUAUUCUUAAAUUCUGAAAUCAGAAUCUUAAUUUUCUUAGAAUAACUCUCUUGAAAAUGAAGAUUCUUGUUCUUCCUUUAUCUUCCUGACGCAAUAGAGAAUUUGACUUUGAUGUAGCCAAGUACUCAAAAUGAUAAUGGGGAAAGUCAGAUUAAAAGUCAAGUGGCCCAACUACGAAUUUGGGCCAUAAAGUGAUACUACUAUAAGGCCCAUGUAGUCACAAUUGAUAUUGACAUCUAAGAAGGCUACUUUAUGUCACAUUCAUUGUGGAAUGUGCUGCAGGCAUCAGUAGUAAAUGUUGUCAGUCUAUCCCAAGUCAUUUCAGGAUAGUCAGAGCCUACUCCUUACUUUAUGUCACUUCUUUCUCUCCAGAAAGUACUUUAUGUCUCUAUCCUUCUAAAAUGUUCUUUAGGAAACAACUUUCAAUGUUAGUAGAGUCUACUUUUUGUCAUGUCAGGCAUUAAUGGUCUCUGUCCUAAGAUCUUUAGAGGAUUCUACUUUUGGGAGCGUCCCAGCUUCUUUUUGGCCUAUAUAAAGGCCCCCCCCCCCUAUAACUUGAGAAGGAUAUCUUUUGAAGUAUUAUCUAUUCUCCUCUGUGAGAGUUCUCCUUUUUUGCUUGUAGAUUCAGGCAACCCCUUGUGGAUUUAAGGGCUGAAGAUUCUGAAUCUGUGGAUUCAGAAGUUGAUUUCUUCUCCAAGUUUUGAGCUUUGUGGAUUCAAGGUCCAAACUUGUUAUCUUCUGUGUUACUGCUGCGUCAGUUGGUAUCAGAGCAAGUCAACAUCCCUAGUCAAUAGUAAAGCAUGUCUCAAGGUAAAUCUGCUCAUAUCAAUGAUGAUGAUUCACCAGAGAUAUGCCCAUUCUCGAAAUCUGAUUUUAUGGAGUUUGAAAAUAGAAUUGGUCAAAAAUUUGAAAAUAUUAGUGAUAUGUUGUAACAAGUUUUGGUAAAAGUGAGUACAAUAGAAUGUAAUGUAUGCCUACCUGAAAAUCAAGAUAUACGGCGUCCUCAAAAAGUGUCACCUAUUGUUAUUUCACUAGAUAGCCACUGUACUUGUAGUUCAACAUGUUCUAAAUCUAGACUUGAAGAUGAUUUUUCUCGAGAUUUUCGGAUGAAGAUUGAUUUACCAUGUUUCAAUGGACAUUUGAAGAUUGAAGAGUUUUUAGAUUGGUUGUCUGAAGUAGAACGAUUUUUCGAAUAUAUGAAAAUUUCUAAAGAGAAACAAGUGAAAUUAUUAGCUUAUAAAUUGAAAGGUGGAGCUUCUACUUGGUGGGAUCAGUUACAAAUCACACGCACCAGGUCAGGAAAAGAACCUGUGCGAUCUUGGGAGAAAAUGAAGAAACUACUAAAAUCUUGUUUUCUUCCCCCAGAUUAUGAGCAGAUUCAAUAUCAGCUGUAUUAAAAUUGUCGUCAAGGACAUAGAUCUAUUUCUGAUUACACUGAAGAGUUUUAUCAUUUAUCUUCUCGAAUUGACUUGACAGAAUUAGAGUCAUAUAUGAUUUCAAGAUUUAAAGGUGGUCUAAGAUGGGAAAUCGAAGACAAGGUAGCUUUACAGUCAUUUUUUAAAUUAAAUGAUAUUAUAAUGGCCGCAGAGAGGGCCGAAGUAUUAUUAGAGAAAGGAAAAAACAGGCUUCGAAAUUUUAGGAGUCAAAAUUCUAAUGUUCAGCUGGAUAGAGGUAGAUCAACAGGUCCCUCACCAACAAUUCAAUCAAGACGACCAAAUCAAACAUCUAUUGCAUCAAGUGGAGGAAAUCUCUCCUCUCAGGUGUCAUCUAACAAGAAUCUAUAUAUGCUUAAUGUUAUUCCAAAAUGUUAUAGGUGCGGGCAAAAUGGACACAAAUCAAAUGUUUGUCCAAAGUGUGGGACUAUCAAUUUGAUAGAUGCAAUAGAAGAGUGUUUUGAACAUGAAGAAUCUGAAAUUGAAGGUGAGAUUGAAGAAAAUUUUAUUGAAUUUAAUGCUGGUGAAGCUUUAUCACAUUCUCUCAUAGUGAGAUGACUGAUGUAUGCAUCAAGGAGGAAGACCCACAACAUCAUAACAUCUUCAGAACAAGGUGCACUGUAGAUAGCAAGGUAUGUGACAUUAUUAUUGACAGUGAGAGUAGUGAAAAUAUUGUUUCAUCUUUAAUGGUGCAGAAGUUAGGCCUGAAAACCAGCCAACACCCUCAUCCAUAUCGAAUCAGUUGGAUUAGAAAAGAUACAGAAAUGAAAGUUUCAGAAACAUGCUUCGUAAAAUUUUCAAUUGGAAAAACAUAUUUUGAUAAAGUAUAGUGCGAUGUUCUGGAGAUGGAUGCUUGCCAUAUGAUUUUAGGUCGUCCUUGGCAGUUUGAUGUUGAUGCCACACAUCGUGGCAAGGAAAAUAUUUAUAUCUUCUAUAAGAAUGGAAAAAAGUUUAUCUUAACUCCAAUGCAAGAUAAUGAUUUCAAAAAGGGAGAAAAAGAGAAAAGGAAAGUAAUGUUGAUCAACCAUAAUGAGUUCUUCACUGACUUUGAUAAAAAUACUCAAUUAUUUAUGGUGAUUCAAAAGCCCAAUUCUACAUCUGCAGCAUCCAUAAUACCAAAGAGUGUUGAGAAUUUAUUAUCUGAUUUUUCUAUUAUUCAAGAUAUGUCUACUCAUCUUCCAACCAUGUGAGAUAUACAACAUCAAAUUGAUUUUAUUCCUGGAGCUAGCUUGCCUAACCUACCACACUACAGGAUGAGACCAGAAGAAAAUCAUAUUCUUCAGGAACAAGUCGAAGAAUUAUUGAGCAUUGGACAGAUAAGAAAAAGUAUGAGCCCAUGCUCAGUACCUGCUCUACUUGUACCAAAGAAAGAUGGAAGUUGGCGAAUGUGCAUCUACAAUAGAGCAAUCAAUAAAAUCACAGUCAAGUAUAGAUUUCUAAUCCCACGACUUGAUGAUAUGUUAGACAUUCUCUGUGGAUCUAAAAUCUUAUCAAAGGUUGAUUUAAAAAGUGGAUACCAUUAGAUUCGAAUUCGACCAAGAGAUGAGUGGAAGACUACAUUCAAAACAAAAGCAAGUCUGUAUGAAUGGUUAGUUAUGCCUUUUGGGUUAUCUAACGCCCCAAGUACUUUUAUGAGGAUUAUGAAUCAAGUUUUAAAGCCUUUCAUUAGAAAAUUUGUUGUGGUAUAUUUUGAUGACAUUUUGAUUUACAGUAUCAUUGAGGAUGAACAUAUUAACCAUCUCAAGUCUGUGUUCAAAGUGUUAGAAGAAAAUAAAUUAUAUAUUAACUUGAAGAAAUGUGAUUUCAUUACUAUUAGCUUAUUGUUCUUGAGAUAUGUUGUUAGUGCAAAUGGAAUUAGUGUGGAUGAGGAAAAAGUCAGAGCUAUUAAAGAUUGGCCAGCCCCAACUAACAUCCAUCAGGUUCAAAGUUUUCAUGGGUUAGCAUCAUUUUACAAAAGAUUCAUCAGAAAUUUUAGUUCAAUAAUGUCACAUGUUACUGAAUGUAUGAAGAAGGGUCAAUUCGUUUGGACUGAGGAAGCCAAUAAGAGUUUUGACUUAAUCAAAGAUAAACUAUGCACUGCUCCUGUAUUAGCCUUACCAAAUUUUGACAAAUUAUUUGAAGUGGAAUGUGAUACAUCUAUUGUUAGUGUUGGUGCUGUACUAUCCCAAGAAGGCCGCCCAGUAGCAUAUUAUAGUGAAAAGCUCUCUGAUGCAAGAAAAAAAUGGACUACUUAUGAGUUAGAAUUUUAUGAUGUGGUUCGUGCAUUGUACACAUGGGAACACUAUUUGAUUCAACGCGAGUUUAUUUUAUAUACUGAUCACCAGGCUUUAAAAUCUCUCAACAAUUAGACUAGCAUUAACAAAAUGCAUGCCAGAUGGGUAUCCUUCAUUUAACAUUUUACUCUUGUCCUUAAACAUAAGUCAGGAAAGUUGAAUCGAGUUGCUGAUGCUUUAAGUUGAAAAAUGACAUGUUUGGUGAAUUUACGAGCUGAAAUUAUAGGAUUUGACUAUCUCAAAGAAUUAUAUUCAAAUGAUGAAGAUUUUUCUCAAGAAUUUAUGACAUGUUUAUCCAGUUCAUUAGCAAAUGGUUUUCAUCUACAUGAUGGUUUUUUAUUUCGAGGAAUACAGUUAUGUAUUUCCCGAGGAUCUCUUAGAGAAAAAUUACUUCGUGAAUUACAUUCUACAGGAUUAACAGAACAUCUUGGUCGUGAUAAAACUUUACACUCACUAGAAGAACGAUAUUUCUGGCCAAAGAUGAAGAAGGAUGUUGAAAAGUUUGUACAAAAGUGUUUGAUUUGUCAAACAUAUAAAGGGCAGAGUCAAAACACGGGUUUAUACAGUCCACUCCUAAUUCCACAACGUCCUUGGGCUGACAUUUCUAUGGAAUUCAUUUUAGGCCUUUCACGUACACAAAGAGGAGCAGAUUCUGUCUUCGUGGUGGUAGAUCGAUUCUCAAAAAUGGCUCAUUUUAUUACUUGCAAAAAGACAAAUGAUGCCGGUCAGGUAGCAAAUCAUUUCUUUAAGGAAAUUGUUCGUCUGCAUGGUGUGCCUGAGUCAAUUACAUCUGAUCGAGAUUCUAAAUUAAUAUCUCAUUUUUGGCGAACACUUUGGAAAAGAUUUGAUACAUUCUUGAAAUUUAGUAAUACCAGUCAUCCGCAAACAGAUGGUCAAAUAGAAGUUGUGAGCAGAACUCUUGGUAACUUAAUUCGUUGUAUUUCUGGUGAAAAACCAAAACAAUGAGAUUUUGCCCUAGCUCAAGUAGAGUUUACUUAUAACUCGAUGGUUAAUCAUUCAACUAAUCAGUCUCCAUUUUCAAUAGUGUAUUGUUUUCCACCUAGAAUUCCUUUAGACCUAUUACAGGUGCCAAAGACACUAAGUACUAAUAUUACUGCAAAUCAUAUGGCAGAUCAUAUCAAAACAAUUCAUGAAAUUGUGAUUCAGAACCUCACGUCAAACUAUGCAAAGUAUAAAGCCACUGCUGACAAGAAAAGAAGAAAGAAGACAUUUGAUGUCGGAGAUCAAGUUAUGAUCUACCUUCGCAAAGAAUGACUUCCAACAGGAACCUACAGUAAAUUGAAGCCCAAGAAAUACGGCCCAUAUCAAGUUUUAAAGAAGAUAAAUGACAAUGCAUACCUGAUUGAGCUCCCAACAAUUAUGGGUAUUUCUCCAACUUUCAAUGUUAGUGACAUAUAUGAAUAUUAUGGAAAUUCUAAUAUAGACUCAAGAAUGAGCUUUUCUAAAGAAGAGGAGAUUGAUGUAGCCCAGUGCUCAAAAUGAUAAUGGGGAAAGUAAGAUUAAAAGUCAAGUGGCCCAACUACGAAUUUGGGCCAUAAAGUGAUACUAUUAUAAGGCCCAUGUAGUCACAAUUGAUAUUGACAUCUGAGAAGGCUACUUUAUGUCACAUUCAUUGUGGAAUGUGCUACAAGCGUUAACAGUAAAUGUUGUUAGUCUGUCCCAGGUCAUUUCAGGAUAGUUAGAGCCUGCUCCUUACUUUAUGUCACUUCUUUCUCUCUAGAAAGUAUUUUAUGUCUCUAUCCUUCUAGAAUGUUCUUUAGGGAACAACUUUCAAUGUUAGCAGAGUCUGCUUUUUGUCAUGUUAGGCAUUAAUGGUCUCUGUCCUAAGAUCUUUAGAGGAUUCUACUUUUGGGAGCGCCCCAGCUUCUUUUUGGCCUAUAUAAAGGCCCCCCCUGUAACCUAAGAAGGAUAUCUUUUGAAGUAUUAUCUAUUCUCCUCUGUGAGAGUUCUCCUUUUUUACUUGUGGAUUUAGGCAACCCCUUGUGGAUUCAAGGGCUGAAGAUUCCGAAUCUGUGGAUUCAGAAGUUGGUUUCUUCUCCAAGUUUUGAGCUUUAUGGAUUCAAGGUCCAAACUUGUUAUCUUCCGUGUUACUGCUGCGUCACUCCCAUAGCAACCACAUAUUUUGGUUCAGGCAUUUGUUCAUAUAAUCUCACUAAUGAAAGAGCCAUUUUCAUUGUGAUAGCAUCUACUAUACGAGGAAUAUUAAUUAACCCAAUUCUCGGAAUUGCUCAGGAUACCUUCUUUUAGCUUAUAAGGUCUAUUUCUUAGUUCAAGAUCCCUCUUACUAAUUGAAAUAAAAGUAUUAGUAGAUCUACUAUGCCCAAAAUGGGAAUGUGCUGGCAUUAUGAACUUAUAAUCAUGGAAUCAACUUGAGCAUCAGAUUAUAAGUUCACUCCAUAUUGGACCAGACCGUCAUAGGGUUAUGUACAUUCUCAUUAUGAGAAGGGGUCAUUCGAGUGUAUGUAAAUAGAUACUAUGUUUACAUAUGGAUCCCUAUGUCGUGACAUUCUAUUUAGGAUUAGGAACUAAAGGAGUUCCUAUGAAUCCAAUGAAUAAAGUAAAUACUACCAAUACAAGCAAAAGAAAUAACAUAGUAUUAUCUGACUCAUGAGGAUACAUAGAAGUAUUUUUUUCAAAAAAGGAGUAGUAAAGUAUCGCAUUUGAUUUAUUACAUUAUGAUCAAAUUCAUAGGUAUUUUUAGAAAAAAACAAAAAGUUUUCAUUAUUAUUAUUGAUUGUUGAGAAAAAAAAUUUCUUGGCUUAGGUGCUUCCUUUCCCCACAAGGAUAUUGAAUAAGAUGAAAUAUUUUGAGUUCCACUGUAAGUUUGAAACUGAACAUGUAAAUUCCCGUCAAAGGUAAGUAGACCCGAAACAUAUAAAAUGCAGUAAGUCAUGCUGUAAAAUAAGCUAUGACUGCGAAAGUGGGUAAAUACAACCAACUUUCACUAAGAAUUUCAUUGAACAAGAGGUGGAAUACCACAAAGAGAAAGUGUACCUAAUAACAAUGUAGUUCUGGUAAUUGGAAUAUAUCUUGUUAAACCACCCAUAAGAACCAUAUUCUGACUUUUAUCGGGUGAAUAUCCACCCAGAGGUUUCAUUGAAUGAAUAAUAUCAUUCAAUGAGCAUCUUGUAUUUCAUAGAAAUUGGGGGUAAUAUAGUCCUUAUGUAAAGGCCAUUGUACCCAACUUUCAAGCAUCAAAAUACAUUUUAGGCGUGGAUGAUUAUCAUAAGAAAUUCCCAACAUAUCAUAAUAUACACAUUCUUGAAAAUCAGCACUCAAAACUCAGAAAAUAGAUGAGACUCUAGGAUUUUGCCUUGGGGCAAAUACUUUUAUACAUACUUCCUCCAGUUGAUUCACUCCAUACUCUAUUCUCGUAAGAUGAUAUACACUAGGUAAAAAUCCACCAGGUAUGACAUCAUAGGCUCACUAAGAGUGUAAGUAAUUGUAACCAUACACAUAUGAAAUGACACCAAUGGAGUCCCAAUCUUCCAGUUUUAUUUGUAAUGUCUCUAUUCCUUGGUAAUCGAAGCCCAAGGAUCUAUGAACAAGCUUAUACUUGACUAGCCAGGUAGAUAAAUGACUCUGCAUCUUCUUGAUCUCUCCCACAUUUGUAUUUGUAUAAGUAUUUCAUAUUUACAAUGAAAUUUAUAAAGAUUGNNNNNNNNNNNNNNNNNNNNNNNNNNNNNNNNNNNNNNNNNNNNNNNNNAAGCUUUUUUUCAUUCUGCACAAAAGCAACCUGCUCAAUUCACUAAUUUGUGGGAAGAUAUUGAACUUUUGGGUCUAAAAAAUUCUUCAGAAGGUAUUUCUGAAGUAGAUGAUGAUUGAUAAAGCAAGAAAGGUCUGCAAUGAAUGCAUGCAGCCAAGUGGAUUCCUGUCCUAAAGGUAACCCAUACUUGAAGUCACAUUGGGCUUGGUUCUGUCUUGUCACACCAGCCCCAACACCAUCUACAGAUUUUAGUUAUCUAUCCCAAGACCUUGCUGGCACUGUUGAAGGCCAAGAAAGAUGCUCUAUCAGUCCCGCUCACAACUGUCUGAAAUUAGACACCUACAUGACUUCCAUGUGAGGAAUAAUACACUACACAGGUGACGCAGCAGAAAAUUUGACUUGAUGGAGAUCUAGAGGAUUUGAUGUAACUUGAUUUGAUAUAAAUAGAAAUCUCAUUCUUGAAUCUACAAAAACGUGAUUUCUGUGAAGAGUCUUCACCUUGAAUCCACAGAAUGAACGAAUCUCAACCCUUGAGUCCACAAGGGGUUGAUCUUGAAUCCAUAAGAUCAGAAUUGGUUCCUUAAUCAAUAGGGAGGCUGGAAUCCACCAACAGAGUAGAUAACUUUCUAGAAAAAAAAAAGAAAAUCUGAAUUCUAUUCAUCAAAAUAUGGCAUUCCCUCUAGGGUUACAAAAGAGGCCUUUACAUAGGCCAAAAAAAUAACUAAUUGACAAGAAAUUCAGAUAUCUAGAGAUCCUAGAAAAUAGGAAAUAUGUUAAAACAAACCCAAAACUCAGGAGGUUAUGGUAAGAACGUCCUUAACUAACUACAAUUCUAGAAGUAAUUAAAAAUGGCCUGAAAGUUAAGUUUGUUACAAACAUUCUUAACUACAAAAAUUUAUAACAAAAAUGUGAAAGAAAAUAAUAGAUUUCAAGAUUUGAACACACUUAACAUGUUCUAAAUCUAUUAUUGGGUGAAAUGAGUCUUCACACCUCCUGUUAUUUGAGAUUACUCAAAUUUAGCUGAAACCGGCCUAUAUUAACAAGGGAAGAUAAACGUGAAAUGACUUUAGGUUUUGUUGAUUUAUUAUGUGAUGAUUAUAUUGAAAAGGACUGAAGUCAUGGUAUUUUCUUUAGUCAAGAUUGGGUCUCUAUGCUAGGUGUUAUACCUAUGGCUUCAGGGGGUAUUCAUGUUUGGCCCCUUUCAAAUAAAUAACCUUUUAGAGGUUUAAUAAAGUAACCCAAAUCUCUAGCAUAUUUUAAUUCCUUGCUAUAAUACACACCUUUAAACUUAGCCACCGGAAAUAUUAAAGUGUUAUUAGUAUACCUAUAUGGCAAGACAGGCCUUUUCAUACCCUCAUGUGUGACUGUACAAAUUAUCUAAAUUAGUAUCUUCCAAAUUAUUUACCCACAGGGGUUCCCCACAAGGCAUAGUAUAAUUUUUGAUAAUAUAAGGAUAUAGAGAAUUAAUGUCAUAAUAGUACAAAUUUCCCCCAUAGGUAUAUAAAUAUCAGUAUGUCCUCCGUAAUAUCCACUCCUAAUGAAUCGAUCCUCAUUCAUAUUAGGAAUAUAUAUAGGAUACUUUUUAUCAUCAUACUAAUGCAUCCUGAAGAUCUUCAUAGAUAGAGAGGAUAAAGUUAAAAUACUCUCUAUGUCUACAUUAUAUUUAUUCCAAUAUAUUUAAUGAGCUUUUAGCAUGAUUCCACCUAAAAAAUGAAUAUCUUGUAUAAUAUAUUCGAUUAACUUCUCCUUCAUAUCAAUAAGAUUUGAUAUAUGAACUUCAUCACGUGCGACUGAACCUUUUAUACCCCAUUGAGGACAAAAAGCCUUAGCUAAUGAAGCUAAGCUUCUAUGUAUAUGAAUCUCUCAAAUGAUAAAGAAACUUAUUAUUUUUAUACACAUUAAUCUCAUAAAUCUGAUGAUUGCUUAUUAAAGGUCUUAUCUUAUACCUAUCUAAUCUUUUGGCAAAAUACUUUAAAAAGAAUAUACCAUCAAAUCGUCCAAAAUUAUGGAAAUAAAUAGUUCUUAAACCUUUAGUACUACUUUCUACAUCUUCUAUGGAUUUAGAUUCAAGAUCUUCCCCAGGGUGAACCACUAAGUAUCCUAGGGCACAGGGUACAUGAGUAUGAUCUAACAUUAAAGUUUCCACAUCAGCCACUAUGAAUGGUUUCAUGCUCUAAAGGUCUUAUAAAUUUUUCAUAGGUUCUCUUUUUAUUGAUGAUAGUUUUAUAAGAAGGCUCUUCCCCACUAGAACACUCUAAUUCCAUAUCCUUCAUAAGACUCUCAAAAAUAUUCCUAUGACUCUCUAAGUUCCAAUUAAUAACCUUAGUAGAUUCGUUUUGUAUAUAAUACACUCUAAGAAAUAUACCUAAAAUAACUCCUCCAUUAUAUUUCUCCAUAACCCUAGUGAUAACUUUUACAACCUCAUUAAAUAUAUCUCAUUUAGGCCUUCUACAGACUUUAACAUCAUGUAAUGGAAUACUAUCUGUGAUGGUAAACGAUAUAUUUCCAUGUUCACAUUUCAUAUCAAACCCUAUAGUAAGCUUAAUAUACUCAGAUUGAGUACAAUACGCAUACUUCAUUAAUAACAUCAGAACAACCAAUGCAAAAAGGCUUAUAGAAGUAAUUCUAGGAGCUUUUACUUCUUCCUCAGAGCCCUUAAACUAAAUUCUAGCUAUAACUAACACUCUAUGCACAACAUAAUAAUCUUCACUUACAGAAUAAGAUAAUAAUAGAUUAAAUAUAUAUUCCAUACUAUUGUAAGUAAAAUUCUUUGAGAAAAAUCUAACCAGAAACCCCCUCUUAUAUCUAACUCUCUUAAUUCUAUCGAUAGUGUGCGUCAUGUAGUAAUAAUCUAUGACUAUCUUCUAAGCUGAUUUUCAAAAGCUAUCUACCUUGAUUUCUAACCUUCAAUCCCUUGAAGGUUUGUUGAUUCCAUAUAUUACUGAUGUAGCCCAAGACACAAGUUGAAGUCCUAACUUCGAAGUUGGGCCCAAUUACCCUAAAUUUGGGCCAUGAAGUGAAAAGUAGUAAAGAGGGAGCCCACAUAUGUCACUAGUGGGCUGGAGGUCCGAAAAAUAAUACUUACUUUCUACUUUAUGUCCUUUCACUUCUAGAAGGCACUUUAUGUCUCUUUCCUUCUUGAAGGGACUUUAAUAUGGUUCAGUCUAUACCCAAGAUAUGCUCAGGAUAUCAGACUGUCAGAGUCUGUACCUAAGAUCUACUCAAUAUAUCUACUUGUCAGAGCUUGCUUUAGGUCACUUCAGAGUUAGUUAGAGUAUUUUCAAAAGAUAUGUUCAAGAUCUCAAUCUAUCAUAGUCUGGUUUAAGUCAUUUUAGUGUUAGUCAGAGUCUGUCCUCGGGAUUUGUUAGGAUCCUUCUUUUAUGAGCACCCCCACCCCCUUUCUAAGCCUAUAUAAAGGCCCCCAUUGUAACUUGAGGGACUUACCUUUGAGUUGAACCAGUUUUCUCCCUUGUGAGAACCUUUCCUUUUUUUGCUUGUGGAUUCAGGCACCCCCUUGUGAACUCAAGGGUUGGAGACUCCGAAUAUGUGGAUUCAGAGGUUAGUUUCUUCUCCAAGAUUAGAGCUUUGUGGAUUUAAGCCCAAAUCUUGUUUAUCUUCUACGUCACUACUGUGUCAGUUGGUAUCAGAGCAAGUCAACGUUCCAGUCAAGGUUCAAAGAUGUCACGAGAUAAAUCUGCUCAUAUUAGUGAUGAUGAUUCACCUGAAGUUACUCUUAUGUUAAAGUCAGAUUUUCUGUUAUUUCAAGAUCGAAUAGAUCAAAAAUUUGAUGAUCUUAAUGAAACCUUGAAACAACUUUUGGCUAGAAUGAGUACAUUAGAGGGUCAUUCACGCCCCCUUAGAGAUCAUAAAAUCAGACGUCUUCAGAAAGUCACUCAUGUCGAAUCUUCAUCAGAUACUCAUUGUACAUCUGAUUCUACAAGUUUUAAAUCAAGAUUUGAAGAAGAUAAUUUUCGAGAUUUUCGUAUGAAGAUUGAUUUACCUUGUUUUAAUAGCCAUUUGAAGAUUAAAGAGUUCUUAGAAUGGUUAGUUGAAGUAGAAUGACUUUUUGAAUAUAUGAAAAGUUCAGAUGAAAAAUAAGUAAAGUUCUUAGCUUAUAAAUUGAAGGGUGGAGCCUCAGCCUGGUCGGAUCAAUUACAAACCACCUGUACAAGGUCAAGCAAAGAACCUAUACGGUCAUGGGAGAAAAUGAAAAAACUUUUGAAAUCUCGUUUUCUUCCCCCAGAUUAUGAACAAAUUUUAUAUCAGUAGUAUCAAACUUGCAGGCAAGGAAUGACGCAACGGAGAAUUUGUCUUCCUGAAGAUCUGAAAAAUUUGAUGCAGCUUGAUUUGAGAUAAAUAGAAAUCUCGUUCUUGAAUCCACAAAAACGUGACUUCGGUGAAGAUCCUUCACCCUGAGUCCACAGAAUGAAUGAACCUUGACCCUUGAGUCCACAAGGGGUUGAUCUUGAAUCCACAAGAUCAGAAGUGGUUCCCUAAACCAACAAGGAGGCUAGAAUCCACCAGCAGAGAAGAUAACUUUUUGAAAAGAAAGGAACUUCGAAUUCUAUUGAUAAAAAUAUGUCCUGCCUCUGGGGCUAUAUGAGAGCCUUUAUAUAGGCCUAAAAGAUAACUAACUUACAAGAAAUUUAGAUCUCUAGAGAUCCUACAAAAUAGGAAACUAUUAAAACAAACCUAAAAUUCAAGAGGUUCUGUUAAGAAUGUCCUUAACUAACUAUAAUACUAGAAGAAGUUAAAAAUAGCCCUAAAGUUAAGAAGUUUGUUACAAAUGUCUUUAACUAUUAACAUUUACUUAAAUAACAAAAACGUGAAAGAAAAUAAUGAAUAAUAGAUUUGAACACAUUUAACAUGUGCUAAAUCUAUUAAUCAGCGAAAUAAGUCUUUACACCUCUUGUUCUUCAAGAUCACUCAAAUUUGGUUGAAAUUGGGCUACAUCAGUCUCCCCUUCUUCAAAUAGAACUCAUCCUCAAGUUAUCAUUAUCUAUUCUUUUAGCUUCCUUGAUAUCUUGUAGUUUUCUCCACCUAGAUCAAAAAUCUUAAUCUCUUCAUUCGACACGAUUCCUUGGGCUGCAUCAGUCUUUGUUGCUUGAAGAAAACUCAUCCACAAGUUCAUUUGUUUAGACCCAUAUAUGUAGUCCAAGUUAAACUGGUUAGAUAAAAGACUUAUAGAGGCUGGUGUCAAAUUGUUAUAAUUUGGUCUAACAAACGUCAGUCUAAUGUUCUCAAAGAUAAUGAAACAUUCUGUCCAACUUUUACUUGAUUGUUGAUAUUAUUUUUCUUUAACACUUGCAUGGAUGUGAUAGCCAAAAACAUAGAUUGAACCUAGAUUGUGAUGAAUGACCUCAUUCUUGUCAUUUCCUCAAGAUAAAUCUCUUGUAGAUAAUUGUUCAUCAUGCUUAAUGUCUAAAUACUGUAAAUUUGUAUUUAUCCAAUUCUCAAGAAAGUCAAUAUGCUGAAAUGUCAACUCAUGAAAAAAUACUGGCCCUAGAUGAAGGCAAACGUCUAUAUGUUUCUUUUCAUCUGUUGCAACUUGAUUUUCUAUACCUUUAUUGGAAUCUGAAAAACUUUUGAGAGAUCGAAACACUAAUUUCUAUCCACCUUGGUAAACUACAUAUUGAUUCUUCAUGUAGUUGUAUGUUGCAUUUAAAUAAGAUUGUCAAGGUCCUCCUAACAGCAUAUGACAAAAAUCAAUGUCAAUUAUAUCACAUUCAAUUUCACCAUAAUAUUUGCCAUUGUAUGAAGCUUUCACUAAACAUCUUUCUAUAAUAUCUACUUCACAAUCUUGUUUGAUCCAAUCACAUUUAUAUGGAUCAGGAUGCUCCACUCUUUUCAAUCCCAAUUUAUGAACCAUAUAUGAUGAAACAUAAUUUGCACCAAUACUAUUAUUAAUGAUAACAUUAACAAUCUUUUGGCAAAUAGUGAAUCUUGUUUUAAAAAUUUUCUGAUGAUGACUAUCUUCUUCGAUCAUUGUCCAAACAUAGAUGAACAAGACUUGAUUUGAAUUUUGCCAAAAAUUGAUAUCGACAGAAAAGAAAUCUUUCCUACAAAUCUCAGAGGUUUGUAUCGAUGUAAUAGAUGUUCAAUAUGUUCUCGUAGGAUCCGAAAUAAAAAUAUAGAACAUUAGCCUGGCUCUGAUACCAAUUGACGCAGCGGAGAAUUUGUCUUCUUGAAGAUCUGGAGGAUUUGAUAUAGUUUGAUUUGAGAUAAAUAGAAAUCUCAUUCUUGAAUCCACAAAAACGUGAUUUCGGUGAAGAUCCUUCACCCUAAGUCCACAAAAUGAAUGAAUCUCGACCCUUGAGUCCACAAGGGGUUGAUCUUGAAUCCACAAGAUCAGAAGUGGUUCCCUAAACCAACAAGGAGGCUGGAAUCCACCAGCAGAGAAGAUAACUUUUUGAAAAGAAAGGAACUUCGAAUUCUAUUGAUAAAAAUAUGGCCUGCCUCUAGGGCUACAUGAGAGGCCUUUAUAUAGGCCUAAAAGAUAACUAACUUACAAGAAAUUCGAAUCUCUAGAGAUCCUACAAAAUAGGAAAUUGUUAAAACAAACCUAAAAUUCAAGAGGUUCUGUUAAGAAUGUCCUUAACUAACUAUAAUACUAGAAGAAGUUAAAAACAGCCCUAAAGUUAAGGAAGUUUGUUACAAACAUCUUUAACUAUUAAAAUUUAUUUAAAUAACAAAAACGUGAAAUAAAAUAAUGAAUAAUAGAUUUGCACACAUUUAACAUGUGCUAAAUCUAUUAAUCAGCAAAAUAAGUCUUUACGCCUCUUGUUCUUUAAGAUCACUCAAAUUUGGUUGAAACUGGGCUACAUCAGUCUCCCCUUCUUCAAAUAUCUAUUUUUGAUUAUGCUGAAGAAUUUUAUCAUUUAUCUUCUCGAAUUGACAUGACAGAAUCUGAGUCAUAUAUGAUUUCAAGAUUUAAAGGUGGUGUCAAAUGGGAAAUUGAAGAUAAAGUAGCUUUACAAUCAUUUUUCAAGCUCAAUGAUAUUGUAAUGGCUACAGAACGUGAUGAAGCCUUAUUAGAGAAAGGAAAAAGUAGAAUUCAAAAUUUUGUAAAUCAGAAUUCAACUUCUCAACCAGAAAGAGGAAGAUCCAUUGGUUUUUCUUCUACACCUCACAACGGGCGACUGAAUCAAAGUUCUGUUAGAUCAAGUGGAGCAAAUCCUACAACCCAAGUCUCUUCUAACAAAAAUCUUUAUACUCCUAAUGUCAUUCCUAAAUGCUACAAGUGUAGAGAAAAUAGACACAAAUCAAAUAUUUAUCUGAAAUGUGGCACAGUAAACCUUGCAGAUUCUAUUGAAGAGGAACCAGAAAUUGAAGGUGAGCAAGAAGAAAAUUUUAUUGAAUUUGAUACUGGAGAUGCAUUGUCUCAUUCACUUGUGGUGAGAAGAUUGAUGUAUUCACCAAAAAGAUAAGAAGACCCACAGCGCCAUAACAUUUUCAGAACAAGUUGCACAGUGAAUUCUAAGGUAUGUGAUAUAAUUAUUGAUAGUGGCAGUAGUGAAAACAUUGUCUCCUCUGUCAUGGUUAAAAAAUUAGGUUUGCAGACAAGGCCACACCCUCAUUCAUACUGAAUUGGUUGGAUCAAGAAGGAAACAGAAACUAAAGUUUCAGAUACGUGUUUGAUCAAAUUUUCAAUUGGGAAAAUAUAUUCUGAUGAAGUGCAAUGUGAUGUUGUUGAAAUAGAUGUUUGUCACAUGAUAUUAGGUAGACCAUAUUAAUUUCAUGUUGAUGCUACACACCGUGGUAAGGAAAAUAUUUAUAUUUUCUAUAGAAAUGGUAAAAAAUUUAUUUUGGCACCAUUGCAAGGUAGUGAUUUUAGCAAAGGAAAAGAAGAGAGAAAAAAAGNNNNNNNNNNNNNNNNNNNNNNNNNNNNNNNNNNNNNNNNNNNNNNNNNNNNNNNNNNNNNNNNNNNNNNNNNNNNNNNNNNNNNNNNNNNNNNNNNNNNNNNNNNNNNNNNNNNNNNNNNNNNNNNNNNNNNNNNNNNNNNNNNNNNNNNNNNNNNNNNNNNNNNNNNNNNNNNNNNNNNNNNNNNNNNNNNNNNNNNNNNNNNNNNNNNNNNNNNNNNNNNNNNNNNNNNNNNNNNNNNNNNNNNNNNNNNNNNNNNNNNNNNUAAUGCUCAUCAACCAGACAUAGUUUCUUAAAGAGUUUGAUAUUAAUACUGCAUUAUUUGUUGUUGUUCAAAAACUUAAUUCGAACUUGAUAAUCGGAAAUAGGAUACCAAAAGCUGUUGAAAAUCUGUUAUCUGAAUUUUCUAUAAUUCAAGAACUAUCAACUCAUCUGCCACCACUGAGAGAUGUACAACAUCAUAUUGAUCUUAUACCAGGAGCAAAUUUGUCAAAUCUUCCACAUUACAGAAUGACUUUAGAAGAAAAUCAAAUUCUUUAAGAACAAGUGGAAGAAUUAUUGAGUAAAGGAUUGAUAAGAGAAAGUAUGAGCCCAUGCUCUGUGCCUGCUCUACUAGUUCUAAAGAAAGAUGGAAGUUGGCGGAUGUGUGUUGAUAACAGAGCUAUUAACAAGAUAACAGUUAAGUAUAGAUUUCCAAUUCCACACCUAGAUGACAUGUUGGAUAUGCUUUGUGGUUCUAAAAUUUUUUCAAAAGUUGAUUUAAAGAGCGGAUAUCAUCAGAUCCGAAUUCGGCAAGGAGAUGAAUGGAAGACUACAUUUAAAACUAAGGCAGGUCUUUAUGAAUGGUUGGCCAUACCUUUUGGUUUAUCUAAUGCCCCCAGUACCUUUAUGAGAGUGAUGAAUCAGGUUCUGAAACCUUUUAUUAGUAAAUUUAUUGUUAUUUAUUUUGAUGACAUUCUUAUUUACAAUACUACAGAAGAAGAACACAUUAAACAUCUCAGAUCAGUGUUUCAAGUGUUACAACAAAAUGAAUUAUACAUUAACUUGAAAAAAUGUGACUUCAUGACUACUAAUUUAUUAUUCUUGAGAUAUAUUGUAAGUGCAGAUGGAAUCAAAGUGGAUGAAGAAAAGGUCAGAGCUAUUAAAGAUUGGUCAACACCAAUCACAAUUCAUCAGGUUUGAAGCUUUCAUGGGUUGGCAUCAUUUUAUAGAAGGUUCAUAUGAAAUUUUAGCUCAAUAAUGUUUCUAGUUACUGAAUGUAUAAAAAAAGGUAAUUUUAAAUGAACUGAUGAAGCAAGUAAAGCCUUUUUAAUGAUAAAAGAAAAAUUAUAUUCUGUUCCUGUUUUGGCCCUACCAAAUUUUGAUAAACUAUUUGAAGUGGAAUGUGAUGCAUCCAUAGUUGGUGUUGGAGGUGUCUUAUCACAAGAAGGUCGGCCAAUAAUAUGUUUUAGUGAAAAACUUUCUGAGGCAAGAAAGAAAUGGACAACAUAUGAAUUAGAAUUUUAUGUUGUGGUUCGUGCUUUACAAACAUGGGAACACUACUUGAUUCAGCGAGAAUUUAUUUUAUAUACUGAUCAUCAAGCUCUUAAAUCAGUUAAUAGUCAGACUUCCAUUAAUAGAAUACAUGCUAGAUGGAUCUCUUUCCUUCAACAUUUUACUUUUGUUAUUAAACAUAAGUCAGGGAAACUGAAUCGAGUUGCAGAUACGCUUAGUAGAAAAAUAACAUGUUUGGUGAACUUGCGUGCUGAGAUCACAGGAUUUGACUAUCUCAAAGAAUUAUACCCAGAUGAUGAUGAUUUUUCUCAACAAUAUAUGAUUUGUAUGUCAAGAAUAUUAACCAAAGGUUUUGAUUUACAUGAUGGUAUUUUGAGGAACAUAGUUAUGUAUUCCUCAUAGCUCUUUAAGAGAGAAACUUCUACGAGAAUUAUACUCUUCAGGUUUAGCAGGAGACCUUGGUCGAGAUAAGACAUUAUAGUCAAUUAAAGAGCGGUAUUAUUGGCGUAAACUGAAGAAAGAUGUAGAAAAUUUUGUUCGUAAAUGUUAAGUUUGUCAAACCUACAAGGGACAAAGUCAAAAUACUAGACUAUAUACACUAUUGCUGAUUCCACAACGUCCUUGGGCUGAUAUUUCUAUGGAUUUUAUAUUAGGUUUACCAUGAACACAAAGAGGAGCUGACUCAGUUUUCGUUGUUGUUGAUAGAUUUUCGAAAAUGGCACACUUCAUCGCAUGUAAAAAGACAAAUGAUGCAAGUCAAGUAGUCAAUCACUUUUUCAAAGAAAUUGUUUGUCUACAUAGAAUUCCUAAGUCAAUUACAUCUGACAGAGAUUCUAAGUUUGUAUCUCACUUCUGCCGAACUCUUUGAAAAAGGUUUGACACAUUUUUGAAAUUUAGUAACACUAGUCACCUACAAACUGAUGGCCAAAUUGAAGUUGUGAACAGAACUCUUAACAACUUGAUUCGUUGUAUUUCAGGAGAAAAGCCAAAAUAAUAGGAUUAUGCUUUGGCUCAAGCAUAAUUUACUUAUAAUUCGAUGAUUAAAUGUUCAAUGAACAAAUCUCCAUUUUCAGUAGUAUACUAUUUUCCUCCAAGAAUUCCAUUGGAUCUAUUACAAGUACCAAGAUCAGUUGGAACUAGUAUUGCUGCAAAUAAUAUGGUGGACCAUAUCAAAACACUUCAUGAAGGUGUGAUACACAAUCUCACAACAAAUUAUGACAAAUAUAAAGUAGCAGCAGAUAAGAAAAGAAGAAAGAAGAUAUUUGAAGUUGGCGACAAAGUGAUGGUGUACCUUCGCAAAAAAUGAUUUCCAGCAGGUAGCUAUAACAAGUUGAAGCCAAAAAAUAUGGACCAUAUCAAGUUCUACAGAAGAUCAAUGAUAAUGUAUACCUUAUUGAGCUCCCACCAAAUAUGACUAUUUCACCCACAUUUAAUGUCAGUGACAUAUACGAGUAUUAUGAAUAUUCAAAUGAAGACUCGAGGACGAGUUUUCUUGAAGAAGGAGAAACUAAUGUAGCCCAAGACACAAGUUGAAGUCCUAACUUCGAAGUUGGGCCUAAUUACCCUAAAUUUGGGCCAUGAAGUGAAAAGUAGUAAAGAGGGAGCCCACAUAUGUCACUAGUGGGCUGGAGGUCCGAAAAAUAAUACUUACUCUCUACUUUAUGUCCUUUCACUUCUAGAAGGCACUUUAUGUCUCUUUCCUUCUAGAAGGGACUUUAAUAUGGUUCAGUCUAUACCCAAUAUAUGCUUAGGAUAUCAGACUGUCAGAGUCUAUACCUAAGAUUCGCUCAGUAUAUCUACUUGUCAGAGCUUGCUUUAAGUCACUUUAGAGUUAGUCAGAGUAUUUUCAAAGGAUUUGUUCAAGAUCUCAAUCUAUCAUAGUCUAUUUUAAGUCAUUUCAGUGUUAGUCAGAGUCUGUUCUCAAGAUCUGUCAGGAUCCUCCUUUUAUGAGCGCCCCCACCCCCUUUCUAGGCCUAUAUAAAGGCCCCCAUUGUAACCUGAGGGACUUACCUUUGAGUAGAACCAGUUUUCUCCCCUGUGAGAACCUUUCCUUUUUUUGUUUGUGGAUUCAGGCACCCCCUUGUGGACUCAAGGCUUGGAGACUUCGAAUCUGUGGAUUUAGAGGUUGGUUUCUUCUCCAAGAUUAGAGCUUUGUGGAUUCAAGCCCAAAUCUUAUUUAUCUUCCGCCUCACUGCUGCGUCAAUUACCACAUUAGCAAGUUCAUUCAUAUCCUCCUUAUAUCUCUAAAUCAAAGUCCUAGAGUAUUAGCACCUAUCACUAUUAGGUACCCCUUUCAGUCAGGGCUAAUAACACAAGAAAACAUUCUUAUAUAACCAGAACAGUCUGGGAAGAACCAAGAUUCCAGAUUUGAUAUGGGACGAUAUAGCCUUUCCUUAUUCAUUCCCAUCCAAUCAAAAAGUUUUUCCUUUUAUUGGAUGGUUUUGUUUUUUGAUGAAUCAUAAGAGGAUAAAUUAUUUCCGAUAUUCUAAACGAAAGGAAGGAGGAUCAAGGUGGGAACCAUAGUUGUUUCGUUUGAAGCACAGCAUCAAAGAUAUAUAGAUAUAUACAUGGUAACAGUUAUCUUGGACAGUGUUCCAGAGAAAGUGGCCUACUUGAAAGAAAGGGCGGGCACUCUUGUGUGUCAACCCCACACAAUUGUCAAAGUCACGUCAGUGUUUUCCCAGUGUGCGGAGUCCCAAGGUCUUAGUGCUUUCUCAUGGUAAUGCUAAUCCCUCUUUUUGUGUGUGCUACUCCUAUGGGAAGAAGGGAUCUGAUGCUACACCACUGCUCACUACCUUAGUGGAUCAACUCUAUUACAUAAGUUGAUUCCUAAUUUUUAUCUCAUCUCAUGAAAUAAAUAAGCUGUUCUUAUUGUAUUAAUUGAUAACCUUGCUAAUGGUUCUUUACGGUGCUUCUUCUAUCAAUUUGAUCCUUUAUUUACACAUAAUUAAUACCCUAAUAGAGAUAGAUCACGUGUAAACUGGGAUUGGAGUCUAAUGGUUUUAGAUAGAAUAGGUCUAAUAUAUAAGGAGAAGAAAUUGAGUAAGUGAAGUAGGAUGCCUGUUCUGGUUAUAUAAGAGUGUUUUCUAGUGUUUUCAGCCCUGAUUUAAAGGGGUACCUAAUAGUGUUAGGUGCUAAUACUCUAGGACUCUGAUUUAGAGUUAUAACGUGGAUAUGAAUGAACUUGUUAACGUGGUAAUAUAUGGAAUCAACAAACCUUCAAGGGAUUGAAGGUUAGAAAUCAAGGUAGAUAGCUUUUGAAAACCAGCUUAGAAGAGAAUCAUGGCUUAUUACUACAUGAAUCACACUAUUGAUAGAAUCAAGAGAGUUAGGUAUAAGAGGGGUUUUCUGGUUAGAUUUUUCUCAAAGAAUUUUACAAUUCAAGAGUAUGAUAUGAUAGUACAAUCUUUUUGGAAUAAAGUGUAUGAAGAUUUAAGAAACAAGGUAUUAGAUGGAUAGAAGGAUUAUAAGGUGUAUAAUAGAGUGUUUAAGAUAUUACAGGACUUUAAGGAGUUUCAUUCUCUAAAUAAUAUUAAGGAAGAUGAUUUAUUUGAGUUACAGACAACUAUUGAAGCUUUAAGUAUAUCAUUUGACAAAGAUAAUAUACAUGGACAUACACCUGAAUUAAUAAACAUAUUAAUUAACAAAGAGGAAUGUACAGCUAAAGAUUACUUAAGGAUGCAUAUAUCGAAGGAUGUUUAUUAUAACAUUAUUCAUGCUUUUGGUCAUUAUACAUUGGAAGCUAUUAUCAUAUAUAUACUAGGGUUCUUAUAUAAUAGUAACAAAGAUACUUCUAUGAUUAGACUAUCUACAUUGAUAGAUAGGUUAGAGAGUUUCGUAAUAACACAGUCUGAUUUACUAAAGAUCAAAUUAUCAGUAAGCUCUAAUAGUAAAGUAGAAAAAAAGACACUCAAAAGUAGUACAUAUCAAGUAGGUGUUAAUUUGAUUUAAUUUAUGUUGGAAAGAAAACUGAUCUAGAUUUAUACAUUAAAAGAGGGAUCACUUGUUAUUAUGAACACUGGUGAGGGUUAUCCCAAACCUAAGUCAUAUGUUGUUUGUAGUUUGGGUUUCAAUAUUCUACCAUUCAUUGUAAAUUUACCCAUGAUAUAUCCACCUAUUUAUUGAAAAAGAAACAUGAGUAACUGAUAAAGCUCAAUUUAUCACUAAAUAUUAGCUAAUAAUUUCUAUGAAAAGUACUUCAAGGCACCAUAAUAUUCAUGAAUUGGUAGCUUUACAUGUUCAUGAGCUUCAUUCCUAAAAUCCACUGAGUUUGCCUUUAAAUUUUACUUCUUAGUUACAUCAAAUAUGGAGAAUUAUUUCUAAAAAAAUUUUUAAGCUUUUUCAAAGGAUUAUUACUUGAGAAGUUGAAAAAUUGUCUUAGGAAUAAUCCCACAAAAUUUUACGAUUUUAUCGCUUUAGAGUGAUUUAACAUGGAAUUUACACUAAGGAGAAUACAGAAUGUAAGGAAGUCAACACUUAAAGAAGUCAACAGUCGAGAUGUCAUAAUUCCUAGUCAAAGAAUGACUUCAAGUCAAAGAGUGGAAGAAGGAGGACCAUGUUCAAGGUUCAACACACCCCAGUGGAGGAAGAAGAAAGUUAAUUAGGAUUUUCCUCUCCCUUUAUUGAAUUCUGGUCUUUCUCCUUCUCAUUCUAUUUCUUCUUCUCAUUCUCGUUCUCUUCCUCUUUCUCUUUUUGUCAAAUUCUGUGGAGUUGAGUGAGGCUAUAAAUACCUUCUCAUGACCACAAAAUUGGGGGCGCCCCUCCGCUGUCUUUUGAGGGUUCUUUUCCCGAAAUUAGAGGGAGUGAAAUCCCAAUCGUUCUUCCAACAUAUUCUUCCAUUCCUUUCUGUGGCAUUGUUACAAGUUCUUCCAGUUCCUACAAUUUCCAAUGAAUUCGAGGUAAGAGUACACCCUUUCCUAGGUUAGAUCUCGAUCUCUACUAAUCCAGACAGUGACAUCUUGGAUUAGAAGAGAGAUCUAGGUUAGGUUUACUUCAGAAAUUACAAUCUCGAAAUCUCCUUUUAUGAGUUUCAUCAAUUCCGGUUCAUGUUCUUCCAUGUUCUUCAAUUUUCAGUUUAAGUCAAUUAGAUUCAAUAAAUAUAGAAUGACCUCAAGAUGAUUUCAAACUCAGUAUAUAAAUACUUCGUCUCUAUUAACCUCAAAAUAAUUUCUAAUCGAAAUUAAUCAACUCUCAACCUUCUUCCACAAAUUCCUCUUCUUCCCUUCCCAUUUUUCCGUAAAUGAAUAUUUCUCUCAUUUUCUCAAUGAACUUUGCGAAUCUCUGAUUUUCUGUUAUUUCAUAUGCAUGUCUUUUUAGAUUUAGAAUCAUUCUAACUUCAUUUCAUUCUCUAUUAGAUUCAGUUUGAAUUCAUUUAACUCGUUUCAUAUAUGAACACUCUAUUUUAGAUUCAAUGUUUUGCAUCAUGAAGUAAUUUAUUGCAUUAAUUCUUUUCAUAAAAUGUUCUAAAUAGAUAUAGGAACAAUCACUACAUACUUGAGAUCAAUUUUUACUCUUAGAAACUUGCAUUUUGAUUUUUUUCGACAACAAUACUGAGAGAAUCAAGCACUGUAUGUUUUGGUGAACCACUAUGUUCCUUCAUCUCAACUCUCAUAAAAAAAUAUUCAUAAAAAAGUUCAAAGUAAUUACCUCUUAAUUCCCUGAGGAUCGACUUGAACUCCCUAAUAUAUUAAAUUUAGUAAUUCAUAUUUGGAAGUCAGUUUAUAAAUUUUAUUUGACUAACCACUAAUCCUAAUGACAAUUUUUGGUUAUCUGUAACUUGAUAUUUGAUAUUUAGGGAGGGUAUUUAAGCAAUAUUACUGCUGAUAUAUAUAAUAGAUUCAAUAUAAUCACAUCACACAAUAUUUUUAAUUUGAAUAUCAUGUUGAAUGGUGUAUAUUCAAAUGAUUUAUUACGUAUAUUGAAUGGCUUAUAAAGAACUAGAUUUAGAAUAAAUAGUACUCAAUUGAGUUAUAUUAAGGAUAAUAGGGAUACUAGAAAAAGCUAAGCUUAUUGAACCUAAUUUUUUAAUACAUUUUAAAUUAAAUGAAGCUUUUGAUCAUAUUAGGUUGAUGUAUAUAAAUGAUACUACGGUAUUAAACAUAUCCUUUCACUUAAUGAUAUCCCAUUAGAAAUGGCUAAACAAGUACAAUCCGCUAGGCAUGAUGAUCUCAUUAUUAAUCUAGCAUCUGCAUAUGAAGGAUAUGUAUUUUAUUUACCCACUUUUAUAGACUUUCGUGGCAGGAUCUAUAGAUCAGGGAUCUUACACUUUCAUGAAAUAGAUCUAGCAAGAUCUUUAAUCAUUUUUGAUAAUACAUACAUGUCUCCUAACGCUUAUAUGAAUGCAUUAUAAAUGAGAGAGAAAAUAGCGAUAGGUGCUGCUUUUAAGUAUAAAAAGUGUAUUUCUACACAAGAGGCUAUCAUGAGUUUUUCUGCAUAUCUAAGUGAACGCAAACAAAAUCAUUUAAUAGAUGUUGCUAUUAAAAAAAGUAAUUCAUUUCAAUUUAUAUCCAAAAUGUUAUGUUAUAAAAGAGAUGAUAAUUAUAAGAAUGAACCUAUGAAUCAAGAUGCUAGUGCUAGCACAUAUCAAAUUAUGAGUUAUCUAUUACUUAAUGAAGAAAUGGGUAAACUUAAUAAUAUAAUUACUAAAAAGGGGGAUAGGAUUGGAGACGUAUAUUAUACUUUAUUGGAUAAUUUCAAAGAGUAUAUUCAAACAAAGUAGAUAAAAUUAAACUUAGUCUCAUUAUAACACUAUUACAUAGAAAACUAAUAAAAUCACUGUUUAUGCCUUUGAUAUAUGGGAAGACACUUAUUAGUAUGAAAGCUGAUAUUAAAUCUAAAUACGGUUCUUUACUAAAUGUGAAGGAUUCUCAUUUACUUGCUAUCAGCUAUUUUAUACAUUUUGGGAAGAGAACUUUAUUGAUACUAUUAACUUUAUGAAACUAAUUAACCAUAUAAGUUGGUUAUGCUCAUCUAUUGAUAGACCUCUUUGAUAUAGUAUCUCAUAUUAUACUACCAUUCAGGAUUAUAUGUCAAGUAUUAAAGAGAAAAUUUAUGUAUAUGAUCAUAUUACUAAAGAGAGGCAUAGAGUAACCCUAACAGUACCUACUACAAAUAGGGAUAAGAGAAAGAGUAAAAUAUCAUCUUUUGCUAACUUCAUUCAUCAAAAAGAUGCGUUUAUAGCCUUAAAUGUUAUAGAUGAGUUAUUAAGAAUAGGUGUUCCUAUAUAUACAGUUCAUCACAACUUCAUCACCACUGUCCCAUAUGUUAAGAUGUUAACCCAUAUAUAUUUGAAUGUAUUAAAGAAAAUGGGUCAUCCUAUCUUCAUUAUUAAUUCCUUUAUUAACCUAAAUCUAAUAAAACCUUCUAUCCUAAUUAUUUUAACUCUAAAGAGUCUGAAGUACAUCAUAAUAUACAAGAUCUGAAGGAGGAUCCUAAUAUAUAUUUUAAUAUGAAACUUAAUGAGUGGUGGCGGACAGGACCCCUCGCCACCACAGCACGAGGCCGAGGCAAUGAAGGAGACCCCACCCCCAUGCUGUCAACCGGAUCGUAGAGACUGAGCAAGGACAAGGAACCUCGGGUUCUGCUACACCGCAUGAGGGGCUUCCCACCCCUUGGGCCCACGUCGAGUCCAUGGUAGGAAGGGACAGCCCACUCCAUUUUGGCCCUCGCCCAUCCUACUACCUCCUCCUUUGGGCCAUAUGUGUGGGCCCAAUUGGAGGAGCUGGUGUCCUUAUUCUCCUCACCCCCUUCUUGUUGGGUCACCCUCGUUUAGGCCCAAUAGAGAGGAAGGCCCAUGACGUGAAUUAAUCGUUGUGUAAUAAAUCACGCAAAUUUAAAAUUUUUAUAAAACUAGAAGGGACCNNNNNNNNNNNNNNNNNNNNNNNNNNNNNNNNNNNNNNNNNNNNNNNNNNNNNNNNNNNNNNNNNNNNNNNNNNNNNNNNNNNNNNNNNNNNNNNNNNNNNNNNNNNNNNNNNNNNNNNNNNNNNNNNNNNNNNNNNNNNNNNNNNNNNNNNNNNNNNNNNNNNNNNNNNNNNNNNNNNNNNNNNNNNNNNNNNNNNNNNNNNNNNNNNNNNNNNNNNNNNNNNNNNNNNNNNNNNNNNNNNNNNNNNNNNNNNNNNNNNNNNNNNNNNNNNNNNNNNNNNNNNNNNNNNNNNNNNNNNNNNNNNNNNNNNNNNNNNNNNNNNNNNNNNNNNNNNNNNNNNNNNNNNNNNNNNNNNNNNNNNNNNNNNNNNNNNNNNNNNNNNNNNNNNNNNNNNNNNNNNNNNNNNNNNNNNNNNNNNNNNNNNNNNNNNNNNNNNNNNNNNNNNNNNNNNNNNNNNNNNNNNNNNNNNNNNNNNNNNNNNNNNNNNNNNNNNNNNNNNNNNNNNNNNNNNNNNNNNNNNNNNNNNNNNNNNNNNNNNNNNNNNNNNNNNNNNNNNNNNNNNNNNNNNNNNNNNNNNNNNNNNNNNNNNNNNNNNNNNNNNNNNNNNNNNNNNNNNNNNNNNNNNNNNNNNNNNNNNNNNNNNNNNNNNNNNNNNNNNNNNNNNNNNNNNNNNNNNNNNNNNNNNNNNNNNNNNNNNNNNNNNNNNNNNNNNNNNNNNNNNNNNNNNNNNNNNNNNNNNNNNNNNNNNNNNNNNNNNNNNNNNNNNNNNNNNNNNNNNNNNNNNNNNNNNNNNNNNNNNNNNNNNNNNNNNNNNNNNNNNNNNNNNNNNNNNNNNNNNNNNNNNNNNNNNNNNNNNNNNNNNNNNNNNNNNNNNNNNNNNNNNNNNNNNNNNNNNNNNNNNNNNNNNNNNNNNNNNNNNNNNNNNNNNNNNNNNNNNNNNNNNNNNNNNNNNNNNNNNNNNNNNNNNNNNNNNNNNNNNNNNNNNNNNNNNNNNNNNNNNNNNNNNNNNNNNNNNNNNNNNNNNNNNNNNNNNNNNNNNNNNNNNNNNNNNNNNNNNNNNNNNNNNNNNNNNNNNNNNNNNNNNNNNNNNNNNNNNNNNNNNNNNNNNNNNNNNNNNNNNNNNNNNNNNNNNNNNNNNNNNNNNNNNNNNNNNNNNNNNNNNNNNNNNNNNNNNNNNNNNNNNNNNNNNNNNNNNNNNNNNNNNNNNNNNNNNNNNNNNNNNNNNNNNNNNNNNNNNNNNNNNNNNNNNNNNNNNNNNNNNNNNNNNNNNNNNNNNNNNNNNNNNNNNNNNNNNNNNNNNNNNNNNNNNNNNNNNNNNNNNNNNNNNNNNNNNNNNNNNNNNNNNNNNNNNNNNNNNNNNNNNNNNNNNNNNNNNNNNNNNNNNNNNNNNNNNNNNNNNNNNNNNNNNNNNNNNNNNNNNNNNNNNNNNNNNNNNNNNNNNNNNNNNNNNNNNNNNNNNNNNNNNNNNNNNNNNNNNNNNNNNNNNNNNNNNNNNNNNNNNNNNNNNNNNNNNNNNNNNNNNNNNNNNNNNNNNNNNNNNNNNNNNNNNNNNNNNNNNNNNNNNNNNNNNNNNNNNNNNNNNNNNNNNNNNNNNNNNNNNNNNNNNNNNNNNNNNNNNNNNNNNNNNNNNNNNNNNNNNNNNNNNNNNNNNNNNNNNNNNNNNNNNNNNNNNNNNNNNNNNNNNNNNNNNNNNNNNNNNNNNNNNNNNNNNNNNNNNNNNNNNNNNNNNNNNNNNNNNNNNNNNNNNNNNNNNNNNNNNNNNNNNNNNNNNNNNNNNNNNNNNNNNNNNNNNNNNNNNNNNNNNNNNNNNNNNNNNNNNNNNNNNNNNNNNNNNNNNNNNNNNNNNNNNNNNNAGACUUAUCACACCCCCCAACUUAAAUCAUUGCUAGUCCCUUAGUAAUGGAAUUAAAAAUAUAAUUAUCAUUCAAAAAUUUCAGACAUCAUAUUUCAAUGCACAAAAUACAAUUAGAAAUGAUGAACCUCUAGAUAUUUUGGACUAUUUUAUCAAGUAUUAAAGAAAGAUAUCAAGCUUUUAAAUGUCUAAACACUCCUUUGAAUAAUAAUAUAAAUUUCACUUCUUCAAUCUACAUCUUUGUCACUUCUUUACUCAUGGAUAUAAUUCACAAGAUGGUCCAAUUAUCAAAAAUCAUCCAUGCAUAAUAUUGAUCCUACCUUUCCCUUCCCUAUGGCUUGAUUUUUGAAGUUUGCACUAUAUUUCUUCUUCCUCUUUUUUUUUUUUUUUUUUUCGUGGUGAAUAAGCAGCUUUUCUUGUAAACAAAUUUCUACAAUGAGAAUGAUGUCUCACACCCUCCAUGUGUACUCUUCAUUUCCAGGGCUUUCACAUUAUCCACUUAUUUUGCAGCAAGUGUUUCUCAUUUUUCAAUUUUUUUUUUUUUUUUUUUCACAUUGCUCAUUUUUUUUCUAUUUUUCGAAAUAAGUGAUUUCUCUUCACAAGUCCUAUAGAUCAGGGUGUAAAAAUCUCUAUUAAACUCAAAUGAUCAAUCAAAUUUUCUCAUCAAGUAAAUUCUAUCCAUCAAGAUCAUGAAGUGAAAAAUCUGUAAAAUCAAAUCCAUGUUAUCUAUAAUGUAUCCAAGGAGUAUUCCAACAUUUCAAGCUAUUCAAUCAUUCUCUUAACUCAAUAAUAAUCAUCCUAAUAUCCUUUGGUAUCAAUCAAUCUAAUUGACUUAAUUUUUCUGUGCACAUAAUAUGAUGUAAAAAUUAGAUCUGAAAAUUAUGCCUCUGUUUUAGUUCUGUCAGUUCUAUUUUUAACAACAAUCUAUUUGUAAAAAUAAUAAAUCAAAAUUAUCAUUUUCAUAACAAUAAUUCUGAAUUUCAACAAUAUAUGCCUAGGGGUUUGAAAUGUGAGAAAAGGGUCUCUAAAAUUUCAAGUUUCGUACUAUUUUUAUAAUUUUUUUUUGCUGGUUUUUGACAGUCUGCACUCUGCACUGUUUUCUGUUAUUUUUGACAGAACUAGGAAAUCAACACUAUAUUUUUCAAAAAAUUGCUCAUAUAGAUGAUGAAAAAUUGCCAAAACAUGUUCUUGUUCAUUCUACAGCAUUAAGACUUAAUAUCUUCAUCACCUUACCCCCCAACUUAAAUUUGACAUUGUCCCCAAUGACACAAAUUACAGAAAAUGUAAUUUUCAAUCAAGUAUGCAUAUAAAUAAAAUUAAGCACGAAAAAUACUAUAAUAAAGGAUCAAGUUCAGGAACAUAUAACCUCAGGCUUACUUUUAAUUUUCCACUUCGUCUACACUCCUCCUCCUGCACUUUUAUUCUUUUUUUUUUUUUCUUGAAAGAAGAAAACAAUACAGAAAACUAGAUGCUGCGAAAUUCAACAAAAGUAAAGCAUUAAUUUUAAACAGAACCAUGGGUUGCCUCCCAUGCAGCGCUGAGUUUAAUGUCUCCAGCUAGACACAUUAAUCUCAUUCUCGAAUUUCUUUUAAUAAUAAAAUCUAUUUUUCUGCAGGGCAUUCAUGUUCUAUGUAAGGUUUAAGCCUCUAUCCAUUUACCUUAAAACUAUGAUCAUUUUUAAUAUCUCUAAUCAUUACAACUCCAUGAUCAUAUAUUUCUUCCACCACAUAAGGUCCUGUCCAUUUUGAUUUCAAUUUUCCUGGAAAUAGUUUCAAUCUAGAAUCAUAUAACCAUACUUUUUGUCCAACUUCAAAAAUUUUUCUGCUGAUGUACCUAUCAUGAAAGAUUUUAGUUUUUUCCUUAUAAAUUCUAUGAUUUUCGUAAGCUUCAUUCCUUAACUCCUCUAAUUCAUGUAGCUGAAAAAUUCUAUGCUCACCAGCUGAUUUUUCAUCUAUACAUAAUUUUUUUAUAGCCCAUAAUGCUUUAUGUUCUAUUUCCACAGGAAGAUGACAUGGUUUCCCAAAAAUGAGACGAAAUGGAGACAUACCUAUGGGAUUUUUAUAAGCUGUUCUAUAUGCCCAUAAUGCAUCUUAUAAUUUCGUGGGCCAAUCCUUCCUAUUUGGUCUCACUAUUUUUCUCAAAAUUCUCUAAAUUUCUCUAUUUGCUACUUCAGCUUGCCCAUUUGUUUGAGGAUGAUAUGGAGUGGCUACUCUAUGGUGUACUCCAUUUUUUUUCAAUAGUUCUUUAAAAUGUCUAUUUGUAAAAUGUGUUCCUCCAUCACUAAUGAUCACUCUAAGACAUCCAAAUCUUGAAAAAAUAUUUUUCUGUACAAAUUUCAUCACGAUUUUAUGAUCAUUAGUUCUAGUAGGAAUAGCUUCCACCCAUUUAAACACAUAAUCAACAACAAGCAAGAUAUAUUCAUAUUUUUCAGUGGAUGGAAAUGGCCCCAUGAAAUCUAUACCCCAUACAUCAAAAAUUUCAACAACUAACAUACUACUCAUAGGCAUUUCAUUUCUUUUAUUUAAGUUACCUAUAGAUUGGCAUGAAAUUCAUGUUUUACUAAAUUUAAUAGCAUCUCUAACUAUUGUAGGCCAAUAAAAACCACAUUGAAAAAUUUUUGCAGUUAUUUUUCUGCUAGAAAAAUGUCCUCCACAGUUAGAUGAAUGGCACAUUUUAAGAAUGCUAUGAUAUUCUUCUUCAGGAACACAUCUCCUAAGAAUUUGAUCAUUACCCAAGUAAUAUAAAUCAGGAUCAUGCCAAAAAUAAUUUCUAAUCUUAGCAAAGAAAUGAUUUUUUCUAUUCUUUUCCCACUAUUCUAGAAUUUUUUCAGAAACUAGAAAAUUAACAAUAUAUGCAUACCAUGGUGAUGGUUGAUGUUGAGCUCUCAUCAAUUGCUCAUCUGGAAAUACAUCUUGUAAAGGUGCUGCAUUUGUUCCUAUAUCACUCAAUCUAGAAAGAUGGUCAGCAACAACAUUUUUGAAACCUUUUUUAUCUUUUAUUUCCAAAUCAAAUUCCUGCAACAAUAAUAUCCAUCUUAAUAAAUGUGGCUUUGCAUCUUUCUUAUUAAGCAAAUAUUUUAAUGCUGAAUGAUCAGUAUAAAUGAUGAUUUUAGCUCCUAAAAUAUAUGAUCUAAAUCUUUCUAAUGAAAAUACUACAGCUAACAACUCUUUUUUAGUUGUGGUAUAAUUUAAUUGAGCAUCAGAAAUAGUUUUGCUAGCAUAUGAAAUAACUAUGGGUUUUGACUCUUUUCUUUGUCCUAAAACAGCUCCUACUGCAUAAUUUGAUACAUCACACAUUAUUUCAAAUGGAAGAGACCAAUCAGGAGCUUGUAAAAUAGGUGCCUCAGUAAGUAAUCAUUUUAUUUCAGAAAAAGAUUCAAAACAUUUCUCAUCAAAAUUAAAAGGCACAUCUUUAGAUAAUAACAUGGUGAGAGGUUUAGAAAUUUUUGAAAAAUCUUGAAUAAAUUUUCUAUAAUAACCUGCAUGUCCCAAGAAAGAUCUAAUCUGUUUUACUGAAUUUGGGGGUUACAUUUUAGAUAUUAUAUCAAUUUUCACUUUAUCUACCUCCAAACCUCUUUCACUCACAAUAUGUCACAACACAACUCCUUCUCUAACCAUAAAAUGUGAUUUCUCCCAACUCAAAACUAAUUUUUUUUCUAUACAUUUCUUCAGCACAUGGUGUAAAUGGUUCAGGCAUUCAUGAAAUGAUUCACCAAAAGCCAAAAAAUCGUCCAUAAAAAUUGCCAUACAUUUUCCAGUCAUAUUAGAAAAAAUAGACAGCAUACAUCUUUGAAAUGUAGCUGGAGCAUUACAUAAUCCAAAGGGCAUGCGUUUAAAAGCAAAAGUACCAAAUGGACAAGUAAAAGUCAUUUUUUCUUGAUCUGAAGGAUUUAUAUAAAUUUGAUUAUAACCAGAAUAUCAAUCUAGAAAACAAAAGAAUCUUUUUCCAACUAGUUUUUCAAGAAUUUGAUCAAUAAAUGGUAGAGGAAAAUGAUCUUUUCUAGUUACUGAAUUUAAUUUUCUAUAAUCAAUACAAACCCUCCAACUAGUGGUUAAUCUUGUUUGUAUUUCCUCCCCAAUAUCAUUUUUUAUAAUCGUGAUUCCUGAUUUCUUUGGUACCACCUAUGUAAGACUAACCCAUUUACUAUCUGAAAUAGGAUAAAUAAUAUCAGCAGCCAACCAUUUUAAAAUUUCCUUUUUUACCACUUCCAUCAUGUUAGGAUUUAAUCUUCUUUGUGGUUCUCUACUUGGUUUAGCUCCUUCCUCUAAAUAUAUAUUAUGCAUGCACACAUUCAUAUCAAUGCCUCUAAGAUCAUCCAUUUUCUAGCCAAUAGCUUUCUUAUUUUUUCGAAUUACUUAUAUUAAUUCUUCCUCUUGCUCAUUAUUCAAAUCAGCUGCAAUAAUGACAGGGAAUGAGUUAUUUUCCUCCAAAAAUGCAUAUUUUAAAUUAGAGGGAAGAGGUUUUAGCUCUAAAUUCGUGUGAUCUUCUUCCUUCUUCUCCCCUAAAUUGAUGUUUUUGAUUUCUUUUAAUUCUUCCAUCACACAAUUAUCAAUAAUAUUUGGACCAUCAUAAUCAUCUAAAAAUUCUAUGGUAUGACAAUCAUACACUUGAGAUUUCUUAAGAUCAUUUGAUACCUCAAAGAUUUUAAUUGCUACUGAUUGAUCUCCACAUGAAAUUUUUGCAAUACCUGUGGGGAAAUCAAUAUUCAUCUUUGCUGUAUGCAAGAAUGGUCUCCCUAAGAUGAUUGGGGUGUAAUAAAACUGUCCAUUAAAAUCUAUUUCCAACACUACAAAAUCAGCUAGAAAUUUACAUCUUUUCACUAUUACUAUCACAUUUUCGAAAAUUCCUUUAAGAUUUUUAAUUGAUCUAUCAGCAAAUUGUAAUGUGACAGUAGAUGGUUUAAGGUCAGAAAUAUUAAAUUUAUCACAAAUACUUGCAGGCAAUAAAUUAAUACUAGCACCAGUAUCAAGUAAUGUAUUUUGAAAAAUAAAUCCACCAAUAUCACACGAAAUUAAAGGAGCACCAAUAUCUUUUGAUUUAUAUGGAACUUGAUUUAAUAAUAAAGCACUAGCAUACAUAGAUAAUUUUUCUACUCUAGGUGUUUUUUUUGGUGUACACAUUUCUUUUAAAACUCUAGCAUAUUCAGGAAUAUAUUCAAUUGCAGUAAGUAAAGGAAGACUAAUUUGCACAUCUUGUAAAAUUUUCUUUAUUUCUUCAUUAUGUUCCUUUUUCUUUCUUUGUCUAGGUUCUAGAGCUUUAGGAAAUAGAAUUUUCGUUCUUUCUUUCAGAUUUUCAUUAGUAGAAUCUAAAAGUUCUUCAUUUUCUUCUUCUUGAUUUUGUUUUGGACUGUCCACCUUUUCUUCUUCUACUACUGUUUAGAGAUAAGGAUUAGGUAAAAUUUUUCCACUCCUUAAUGCAUUUACUGUCCUAACAUUAUCAUUUCGUGGGUUUUUUCCUAGGUUCAUGCUACUAGACUCUCCUUGCUGAAAUCCAAUAGUUGGACAUUUUCCUAAAUUUUCUAUGGUUUGACUAGGUAGUUGUCCCUCUUCUCUCCUAUUCUCAAGAGCCUCUAUAAUUUGUUUUUGUUGCAACAUCAUUUGAUUCAUAGUUUACUACAUCAUUUGGCUCAUUUGUUGCAUCAUUUUUAUGGCAUCAGGUUGAGUAUGAGAGGGCUGAAUUUUCUAAAAUCUAUUUUCUUGUUUUGGACGAAAUUCAGAAUUUAAAUUGGGUCUAAGUGCUUUUGGAUUUUGAAUAUUGUUUGGGUCUCUCCAUGAAAAGUUAUUCCUCAUAUUAUGAUUAUAAGAAUUAAGAAAAGACUCCCUAUUUCUAUUAAAACCGUGGGUUACUUGUACUUGUUCUUACAUAGGCUGAAAUGAUUGAUCUAAAUUAUAACAUUGAAAUUCGGAAUGCUCAUUUUUAUCAUGCAUAGGAUAUGAAUUAUUUGAACUAAAUAGAGGAUUAGGAAGCUUCUGAAAAUUCUCAAUAAAUACAUCAAGCUUAUCUAACUUUUUAUUAAUUCGAUUAACCUCAUUUCUUAUAUUAGAUUCAUCUUGAUGAUGAAAUUCAUACAUUCCUCUCCUCUUAUCCCUAUCAUAUAACUCAAAAAAGGCUUGAUCUCUCGAAUUUUCACUUAAAUUUUCAUAAAGGCUAUAAAUCUCAUCAGGAGUCUUUUCCAUAAAUGUUCCUCCACAUAUAGAAUCAAUCAUAUUCUUAUGUUGUUCUAGUAAUCCAUCAUCAAAAAUUCUAUUGAGCUGCCACUUAAGUAUAGUAUGAUGAAAACAUUUUCUAAGUAAAUCUUUGAAUUUUUCCCAUGUUUCAUGCAAAGUUUCUCCUGUAGCCGUGGAUAUUUGAACCAUGGAUAAUCUGGGUGCUUUCCAAUAGUCUAUAUUGUCAACACUUUGAUAGUGUUGUAUGUUACUAUAUAGCUAUCCUCGGUUAACAUAUUACCAGAAACAAAAUGAUCCUUUUUCAUUAAUUCAUUAUAUCUAUUCUUAUCACAUAUUUCACUUACAGUACUAUUAGGAUUGAUCCUGAAUCUUCCAUAUAAUGAAUUCAUUAAUAUUUUAUAUAUAAAAGACAUAACAGUAUCCCCACUCAUCCUAGCAUUAGAUCUACUUUGGUAUAAGUCAGUCAUAAUUUUAUCGAAAGGACUACCCUCACUCCUUCCAAAUAAAUAACCUUUUAGAGGUUUAAUAAAAUAACCCAAAUAUCUAGCAUAUUUUAAUUCCUUGCUAUAAUACACACCUUUAAACUUGCCCAUCGGAAAUAUUAAAGUGUUAUUAGUAUCCCUAUAUGGCAAGAAAGGUGUUUUCAUAUCCUCAAGUGUGACUAUAUAAGCUUCAAUAAAGCUGCACAAGUUAUCUAAAUUAGUAUCUUCAAAUUAUUUACCCACAGGGGUUCCCCACAAGGCAUAGUAUAAUUUUUGAUAAUAUAAGGAUAUAGAGAAUUAACUUCAUAAUCGUACAAAUUUCCCCCAUAGGUAUAUAAAUAUCAGUAUAUCCUCCGUAAUAUCCACUCCUAAUGAAUCAAUCCUCAUUCAUAUUAGGAAUAUAUAUAGGAUACUUUUUAUCAUCAUACUAAUGCAUCCUGAAGAUCUUCAUAGAUAGAGAAGAUAAAGUUAAAAUACUCUCUAUGUCUACAUUAUAUUUAUUCCAAUAUAUUUAAUGAGCUUUUAGCAUGAUUCCACCUAACAAAUGAAUAUCUUGUAUAAUAUAUUCGAUUAAUUUCUCCUUCAUAUCAAUAAGAUUUGAUAUAUUAACUUCAUCAUGUGGGACGGAACCUUUUAUACCCAAUUGAGGACAUAAAGCCUUAGCUAAUGAAGCAAAGCUUCUAGGUAUAUGAAUCUCUCAAAUGAUAAAGAAACUUAUUAUUUUUAUACACAUUAAUCUCAUAAAUCUGAUGAUUCCUUAUUAAAGGUCUUAUCUUAUACCUAUCCAAUCUUUUGGCAUAAUACUUGAAAAAGAAUAUACCAUCAAAUCGUCCAAAAUUAUGGAAAUAAACAGUUCUUAAACCUUUAGUACUACCUACUACAUCUUCUAUGGAAUUUAGAAACUCUAAUAUGUUUCUAUCACUUCUCUCUUUAGAUUCAGGUAUAAACUUCAUAUGAGAUUCAGUAAAACGAAUAUGAAAAUCAUAAUUGGAUUUAGAUUCAAGAUCUUCCCCAGGGUGAACCACUAAGUAUCCUAGGGCACAGGGUACAUGAGUAUGAUCUAACAUUAAAGUUUCCACAUCAGCCACUAUGAAUGAUUUCAUGUUCUAAAGGUCUUAUAAAUUUUUCAUAGGUUCUCUUUUUAUUGAUGAUAGUUUUAUAAGAAGGCUCUUCCCCACUAGAACACUCUAAUUCCAUAUCCUUCAUAAGACUCUCAAAAAUAUUCCUAUAACUCUCUAAAUUCCAAUUAAUAUCCUUAGUAGUGUAUAUAAUAUACUCUAAGAAAUAGACCUAAAAUAACUCCAUUACAUUUCUCCAUAACCCUAGUGAUAACUUUUACAACCUCAUUAAAUAUAUCUCAUUUAGGCCUUCUAUAGACUUUAACAUUAUGUAAUGGAAUAACAUCUGUGAUGGUAAACGAUAUAUUUCCAUGUUCACAUUUCAUAUCAAAACCUAUAGUAAGCUUAAUAUACUCAGAUUGAGUACAAUACGCAUACUUCAUUAAUAACAUCAUAACAACCAAUACAAAAAGGUUUAUAGAAGUAAUUCCAGGAGCUUUUACUUCUUCUUCCUCAGAGCCCUUAAACUUAAUUCUAGCUAUAACUAACCCUCCGUGCACAACAUAAUAAUCUUCACUUACAGAAUAAGAUAAUAAUAGAUUAAAUAUGUAUUCCAUACUAUCGUAAGAAAAAUUCUUUGAGAAAAAUCUAACCAGAAACCUCCUCUUAUACCUAACUCUUUUGAUUCUAUCGAUAGUGUGCUUCAUGUAGUAAUAAUCCAUGAUUCUCUUCUAAGCUGAUUUUCAAAAGCUAUCUACCUUGAUUUCUAACCUUCAAUCCCUUGAAGGUUUGUUGAUUCCAUGUAUUACCACGUUAGCAAGUUCAUUCAUAUCCUCCUUAUAACUCUCAAUUAGAGUCCUAGAAUAUUAGCACCUAUCACUAUUAGGUACCCCUUUCAGUCAGGGCUGAAAACACUAGAAAACACUCUUAUAUAACCAGAACAUGCAUCCUACUUCACCUACUCAAUUUCUUCUCCUUAUGUAUUAGGCCCAUUCUAUCUAAAACCAUUAGCCUCCAAUCCCAAUUUACAUGUGAUCUAUCUCUAUUAGGGUACUAACUUUCUAUGUUGUAUUUUGAGCUGUGCAGCAACUAUAAAUAGGAGUUCAAUAAAAUAUAGAAUAAGGAUACACAAACAGGAACCCAUUUAAAAUUAUACUUUGACAAAAGACAAGAAGCAUUUCUUGGGUCAUCAAAUGAUACAUAGUGCGAUAUGGCUAGAACUUGUAUGUAUAUAAAAUAAACAUAAAGUAAUUCUUUUGGAGAGAUGGUUGAGUGCUUGAUAGCUCUGGUCUUGAAAACUGGUGUAGUUCUAAAGAACUAUCGAGGGUUCGAAUCCCUCUCUCUCCUUUUUCUUGUUGAAUGUUUCUUUAUUGGACUAAUAUGCUGUUAUAAAUUGUAAUGGCUCAGCUAGACAGGAUAGGAAAGCCGAGCCAUAACAAAAAAAUAGAUAUAAAUACAAAAAUAUCAACUAAGAGGGAUCAUGAAAAGAACAGGUUCCAAGUCACGAUCGAUUCUUUUUUCAAAUCCUGCUGCCGCUGCACGGGCCCUUCCUGCAUGCCACAAAUGACCCACAAAAAAGAAGAAUCCUAGAACAAAAUGAGAAGUAGCUAACCAACUUCUAGGAGAUAAAUAAUUGACUGCAUUGAUCUCAGUAGCUACGCNNNNNNNNNNNNNNNNNNNNUACCCAAGGAAUUUAAAGAACCUAGAGGAGUGUGAGUCAUAUAUUCUGCUGAACGGUGUUCUUUCCAAGGUUGUAUGUUUUUUUUCAGCCUACUCAAGUCCAACCCAUUUGGACCUCUUAAAGGUUCCAACCAAGCAGCACAGAGAUCUCAAAAACACAUGGUUUCCCCUCAAAAAAUCAAACUUCUGGUCCACAUUAGCCCCAAGGCAUUGGUCUCUAACUAGAAAAGUAAAAGCUUGAGCUUGAGAAGCUUCUGGUCUGGUUGGUCCAUAAAAUUCACUAGGGUAAGCAGCAUUAUUGAACCAGACAAAACAACAAGCUGUAAAAUCAAAGAUAGAUAAAACAGCUAAACUAUAAGAGAAGUAAACCUCUCCAGACCAGACAUGCAUGGCGAGCCCACGCAAAAGGCUUGGUUAAGAUAUGCCAAAUUCCACCAAGUAUACAAAUGGAACCUAACCAUACAUGUCCCUCAAUUAUAUCUUCUAAAUCGUCCACACUAACAAUCCAUCCUUCUCCCCCAAAAGGAGAUUUUAGUAAAUAACCAAAUAUAACACUUGGGCUAAGGGUCAAGUUGGUAAUUUUUCUUACAUCUCCCCCUCCGGGAGCCCAGGUAUCAUAUACACCGCCAAAAUAAAGAGCUUCGAACACUAAAAGAAAAGCACCUAGACCUAACAAAAUUAAGUGAAUACGUAGGACCCCUCUAUUACCACUCUCUUAAGAAAAAAAAAACAGCAGCACAUUUUUUUGACUGUUCCUAUGGAGUUGAAAUCUUACCAGCAUCAAAAACGAGUUCCUAAUAUAGAAUAUCUUAUAUAACUAUUUUUCAACCGCAAUUCAGGAUUGGAAUGCAACAUUCCGCUCGAAUCCACCAGUUAUGUAAUCCCCAUGCUAGAUUUUUGACGAGAAGUAGUACUAUGGAAGAAGGCUGAAGUAAAGUAGACUGACAGGGGGAAAGUGGGCUAACCUGCGGAUGAUUCCGUUGGCCGGUGAGGGCAGGAGAUUCCUCGUAGGCACAAGGACGAUGACAGCGAGACCCGUGUGCGUCUGGCGGGCGAGGGGCGUCGCAGCCAGAGGCCAGUGAUGUCUUGUUCGCGGAGGGCAGCCACUGUAGCGUCGGCGUGCGCGCCAGCAUGCGGGAUGUUGUUCGGGGAGAGGCUGGCAGCAGCGUCGGGUGCCCUUUGGAUGAGCUGGGGGGUGGUGACACAGCCAGAUGUUCAGAGGUCUGUGAGGCAUUCCUGGUCGAAACCAUGGCAGACUCGUAGAAGGUCAUAGCGACUCGUGGACAGGCUUCUUAGGUUCACGAGCAUGACGACCACGGCCCGUUGGGGCGUGGAGCGCGGUGUUGGGCUUAGGGUGAGCGAAGGACAGGAGCUGCGGUGGGCAACGAUGUUGGAUCUGCGGUGGUGGCAUGGCGGCGAUGGCCCGGAAACAAUGUGGUCGUGUCGUUGGUCAGGUGGUGCCCCACCCCUCAGUCUUCCCCUCUUUCUUCCUCUCUAUUCCUAUAAUCAAACUCAUGAAACAGUCCCUCUAUUCCAAAUAUGCCACCCCUUUGGCGGUGGCUCUCCAUCCUUUUAUAUAGGGGUCCACAUGGGCCAAGGGUGAAGGACCAUAGGGGAAACCCAAAAUGUCUAUUGGGCCUGACAAGGGUGGCCCCAAAAAAGGAAGGGGGUGAGGGAAGUAAAGAUACUAGCUCCUCCAAUUGGGCCCACUCAUAUGGCCCAAGGAGGAGGUAUUAGGAUAGAUGAGGGCUCAAAAUGGAGUGGGCUGUCCCCUCCAGCCAUAGACCCGACGUGGGCCCAAGGGUUGGGAAGCCCCCUCAAGUGGUGUAGCGGAACUUGGGGUUCCUUGUCCUCACUCAGGCUCUGCGAUCUGGUUGUCGGUGUGGGGGUGGGAUCUCCAUUGUCACCUUGGCCUCAUGCUGUGGUGUCUGCCACCAAGGAGCCUAAGCUUGGAAACAUCAAGAAAGCUUUUAGCAUAAUUUGGGGGUUAAGAGAUGGAUCGGGAACUAGCUCCUUGGAUGGGGAAACGUGAUGUCCCAAUGAUGGGAUAUCAAAAAGCAAUCUAACCUACACUAAAUGUUUGCAUCACCUUGUUGGUCCAAGCAACGUCAUAUCCUCCUAGAGGAGCGGACUGGCCAUCUGAAUGAAGUCAGGAAACUCCUCCAUGCUACUGUCAAUGCCGAAACUGCCACCCUUCUUAUCUGCCAGAAGAAAGGUCAUGUUGAAAUCCCCACCUGGAGAGAUGACAACUGACACACAGAUGACAGUUCUUCCCAUAAGAGUCUAUGCCCAGCUAGAGAGGUUUGGGCAUAAACAGCCGUGACCAUACAUCUCCAAUUUGUUGCUGCAUGAUAGAGCUUUAUAGUUAUGGAAUGCUGACCCUCUCCCUCCAUCUCUGAUUGGCUGGAUCACCUCCUCAAAAUGGCCCAUCACAAGGGAAACGAUAUUUGGAUAAUAGAGUUAUCUAGAUAUUCGUAAAUUUUAUAUGUUAUCAUAGUUCUACUUAGGGCAACACAGGUUGUGCCAUAUCAUAAUUUUUCUUUUCUAUUCAAUGAAAAAUUAAAGCAUGAUAAUUCUAUUAUUUCUAGAAAUACAUAGAGAAGAUACCCGCUUGGUAUCUAUUAUUUGUGUUCUGGGGUUUACGUUUACAUAUAUGUAUGCAUGUUAUGAUUGAAAAUACAAAAAUGAUUCAAAAUCAAAAAGGUUUGAUUUAUGUAUAUUAUAUAGUAUAUUACUUAUAUUAAUAUAAUAAUAAGUAUAUUUUAUUAUUUUAUUAUAUUUAUUAAAAUAUAUUGAUAUUUUAUUUUUGUUAUAUAAUAUAUAGUUUGCUUAUUAAUAGAGUUUGCCUAUAUUAAUAUUGUACUUCCAUUCUAUUGAUACUUAGUGAUAAUUAUUUAUUUUGUUUGUGGUAAAUCAAUUUAAUUUUAUUAAUUUGAAAUUAAAUAAAGAAAUUCCAUUUUUAAAUCCUUCAAUAAUUCAAAGUAAAUUAUGUAGUUAAUGGUUCAAUUUGACUUGCAUUUUUGAGUCAUAAAUCCUUUUUUUCUCUUUUGACUUUUUUUGUUUAUUUUUUCUAUUAUAAAAGUUUUUAAAUGGCAUAACAUAAGUAUAUAUGAAGAUACAAACAAUUGAAGAAAAUAAUCUCAACUAGAUCCAAAAAAACAAAAGAAAAAGAGGAAUUCCUUUUUAGAAAAGGAUAAGUACCCUAUUUGGUCUCCAGUUCAUUGAAACAACUCUUAUUUACAAGCUUUUUGACCAGUUUCACAAAUUUAAUAGGAAAAAACAACUAGUUGAGUAAUCCCCCCAUUAGGAAAAAAGUAGGUAUAUUAUAUAAAAUAAAUAAUUAAAUAUAAAUAAUUUAUAUUUCUAAUAUAAUCUAAAAUAUAAAUAAAGUAUAAUUUAUAUCCAUUUUUUAUUCUUAUGACGACAUGGCCAAGCGAUAAGGCAGAGGACUACAAAUCCUUUAUCCCCAAUUCAAAUCUAGGUGCCACCUGAUCAACAAAAAACUCGAGAUUUCUUAUCAUGCUGAUAGAAACCUAAAUCAAUGAAUUAUUCCCUAACAGAUAUAGGGGUACAAGUUUAGGCCUUGUCAAUACUUGAUUUUAAGAAGGAUCCAUAGGUUCUAGAAAAACAAAGACUGUUUUUCCUCAAAAUAUAGAUUUGAAGUAUGGUCCAAAAAAACCGGUAUUAAUGAGAUAAGAUAAAUCAAAACAUAAAUCAAAUAAAUAUUAAGAGUAACAACCAACUCUGAGAUUCAGACCCAAGAGAAUAAGAGAUCGAUAAUCUUAUCUUAGUAGUGAAAGAAAAGAGACUCUUAAAAAUUGAUGAUAGGAAAGACUAUAAAAUCUUACUAAUUUAAUUACCUUACUGAACAAUACUAGGGGAGUAAGUGUCUACUGAGUCAAUUGGCUAGGCUGAUGGGAAAUUUAUUGAGGAGUUGUGUAAAGGAAUGAAUAAAGAGACAUUAUCUCUAAACUCAUAAGAAAUUCCUAGUGCUCAAUAAUCAAUCAAUAUGAUUCACCAAUAAGAUACGAAGACUUACUUCCCAUUUGGAAUUGCAUAAAAUUUUUUUACAUCUUAGAGGGGUUUACAAAUAAUUCUGGGAAAACGUCAACGGCUGCUAGUGUAUUUGUCAAAGAAAAAUAGAGUAUGUUAUAAGAAAUUAAUUAGUCAGUUGGAUAUUCAGGAUCCGAAAACUUGUUAAUUCGAGGAUUCAUUUGAAUUAUUAUUGUUUUUUUUAGAUUUUAUUUUUUUUAUUGAUGAACCUUGUAUAAAAUAUAUUAUAAUAUAAAUACAUAAAUUAUUAAUUUUUUAUUUUUUGUUAUCUUAUUCAAAUAAAAAAAAUUUAUUUAUUUAUUAUUAUUUUAUAUUUUAAAGAAUAAAAAAGAAUAAAAAUAUUUACGUUAUGAUUUUAUAAACUCACAAACGAAAAAUAAAUGGAAAUUAACAUAAAAGAUAAAUAAAAAAAGAGAUAAGAUGAGAUUCACCCACUUGCUACUAAAUAUUUUAUUGCUUCACUUGCAAAGAAACAUACAACCCCCACACUAUUUGUGAUUCCAUCAAUUAUGUAUCUAUAAAAAAAAUGAGUUAGUUUAGCUAAUGGAAUUUUUUUGAUAUAGUGAGUAAUGGGUGAUGUGACCCUAAGUUAUUAGAAUCAUUAUUCAAUUUUAAUAAUUUAUAAAACUAGAUUCACCAAAAAUAAUAUUAAAUGAAUAUAGUGGUGAGCUAGGUUGUCUCCUCAAGGAAAGCUUUUUAGAAAUCUUCUUAUUCUCUUGUUUAAUGGGUUAUGAAUUUGAUAUUUAAAGUUAUGAAGGAAAUAUAAUUGUAAAUAAAUGUAGAUGCAAAUUUAAACUUAUAUUAAAAUGAAAUAUGCUUUAGAAUGAUGAAAAUGGAAAAGAAAGAUGUAAAGAAAUGAUUAAAGCUAAUAAAAUAAAUUUAUUUCACAUAUCAAACAAGAAAAUAAUGAAAACCUUAUGAAAAAUUAAACUUACAACCCUUAUAAUACAUGGCUUGAUGUCAACCUCUGGUUAGUGCUUCCUAAUCUUACAUUUAGUUCAAUGGAAUGGAUUUAAGGUGAGAAUGGUAGAGGAGAAUGAUCAAAAAUCGACGGUGCAUUCCUUGGAACUCUAUUUUCGCAUGAAAAAGAAGAACAAUUAUUUUCUCUUAAUAACAACUCAAAAAAAACUUAAAAAAGAUCCUCUAUCUUUUUCUUCUAUCAUUUCUAUUCUCUAGAAUGAUAAAUCACACAUUAUUUUUUUAUUUUAUUUUUUUCAGAUUUUUUUUCAGAUUUUUUUGAUUUCUCUGAAUUUUCCUCAAAAUUUUCAGAUUUUCUUGCCAUUGCACUUGAGAAUAAUGGAUAUAUCUGUUUUACCAGAAAAUUAUCUAUAUUUGUAAAUAUGCCCAGCCACAUGCAUAUUCUAAUAUAUCUGGUUUAUCAAAUGAUAACUGAUAUUUGCACAUGUGUCCUCAGCAUGUGUCAAGCUAAGAGUCGUGCGAUUCGUGUGUCGUCAAUCCACAAUAAUCGAUAAGUGAUGUGGCCACUUGUAUGUCGUCAGAUAGUUGUGGCCUUUGAUGAUGUGUCACUCUUCUAUUUGUUAAAUCUAUGACACUAGAAACAUAUUAGAUGAAUGAGAUCUUGGGCCCACAUAGGCCCACUAACUAGUAAGCCCAUUAAACUAUUUUUUAUUCUUAUUUAAUUCAGAAAAUUCUCAGAAAAAUUUUAGAAAAUUUGUUUCAAUAUAAAUAAUUUAUUAAAAAUUAUAAAAAUUUAGCACAACAGAAUUUUAUUUUAAAAAAUAGAGUAAAUGAGAAUUAAGUUUCAAAAUAUGAAAUAAAAUCUCAUCAAUUUUCUUUUUAGUCAUAAAAUAUCAAUUUAAAUCAAGAUUUUAGGAGGUUCAUCAAAAUGAGAAAAUUAAAUAAUUAACAUGAUAACUUGUGAAAUAAUUCUCAAAUAUGUAUUAUUCUCCUUGAUUUAAUGACACAUUAACAUAUAAUUUUCACAAGUUAUCACACCCCCUAACUUGAAUCAUUGCUAGUCCCUUAGCAAUGAAAAUAAAACGUGUUUAAAAAUUUAAGAAACAUCAUCAAAUAAUCAUGGAUCAAUAAUAUACCAAAGCUAAUGUGAAGAAACCUUCUCUAAUGAAUAUAUGAUUUAUGUCAAGCAUAAUUAGACAAACCACCUUUUGUAACAAAGUAUUUCUCAAGAUAUAUUCUUCAAAACAUUUUCAUGAACUUAAGCAUGCUUCUCAAUACUCUACAUAUAAUAAUAAUUGUACUACAUAAAUAAAGGAAAGAAUUCACCUCAUCAAGAAAUAACAUUGAUAGAUACCUUACACUAUCAAAAAUAUGCAUGCGAUAGAGAUUAUGUCAAAUCUUAUAUAUAAAUGGCUAAGGCACAUGGAAAGUAAUUUUAAAAAUCAUUGAAUAACUAAUGGGGUUUUAUCCUUAGUACUUGAUAUGAGAGAAAUGCCCAGGUAUCUCAUAGUGCACCCCAUGUGCUUUCCUUUGAUUCUACCCCUUGCAACCUCUUUUUUGUUUCUUCAUUUGAAUACUUGCUACAAAAGAGAUACCAUGAUGUCUCACAGCAUAUUCCCUAUGCUUUCUUCAAGUUCAACAUAUUUUUAUUAUAAAUAAUUAUAAUAUUCUUUCCAUGUGUUGCCCUAAUUAAAUAUGCAGCUUAUUUCCCCGAAGAGGUUUUGUAUCCCUCUGUAAUUUAGGGGGCUUCACUUUGUCAUAAAUACUAGUUGCCAAAGAAAUUGACAAAAGCUCUAUCUCAUGCUAAAAAAAAUUGAUUUUCAUGCAAGGUUUGAUUACACUAUAUCAUGAGAGGUGAAUGAGUAAGAUGAGAAGUCUAAGAAUAAGAAAAAAAAUCAUAAAUGUAACUAUGAGUUUGAGAUGUGUGCUUCAAUUCACUUCCAUGUUUUUAACUCACCCUAGGGAAAUAUUUGGACCUUUAGUUUGACAUAAAACUUAUAACAUAAAAUAAGUUCUUCAUCUUGCUCAUCUAUAAAUCAAUCUAUAAUGUAGUCGAUGAUGUGUUGUUUAUUUGACUAUUUUCAUCAUUAAUAUGCAAGAAAUCAUAAAUAAUUUGUCAUAAACUCAUUUUCAUGCACCAAAUUAUACCUAUGAGUUUUUCUAAAUUUACUCAUUAUCCCCCAACUUAGUUGUUUUAUUGUCCCCAAUAAAAUAUGCUAUUGAGAUUAUAAAAGAAAUGAGCAUCAUAGCAUUCAUCUCAAGUAUGAAAUAUCAAUGAAGGAAAGUUUAGAAAAACUCAUUGAAUAGUCGUAGAUGAUUCUUCAGCUCCCUGAAUUUUUUGUUGGUGAUAUCUAAUCAGUGCUUCAAAUUUUCUAAAAAGGGGAAUCAUUGACAAAAAUAUAAAGAUAGUAAGAUUUUCAAAUAAAAGUAUAACAUGAUGGUUGAAAUAUGAAAGGGUGGAGAGUUGAUACCUUAUUUAUUGAAGUAGAUAAAAACUAUAGAAAAUAAAAUUAGCUUUUGAACUAAAAUAAAUCAAUCUAGAGACAAAUUAAAAUGACAAAAAUAAAAAUUAUUGGGUUGCCUCCCAACUAAGUGCUUGUUUUUACAUGUUCAGAAUGACAUAACCUAGUUCAUACUAAGAGAUGAUCUAUUGCCAUCAAAAUAUAUUUGUAUCCCAAAGAAGGUUUUAUAAUGUUCUUUUUGAAGGUAUCGAAAAGUCUCAUCAAAAUAGAUAAAUCAUUGGACAUGCAUAUAUUUGUGAAAGUGUUACAAGAUGAAAAGAAUUCUUCAAAUAAGGAAAUAUAAUUUUCAAAACUUUUGGUCCAAAGAUCUUAUCUGACAAAUAGAUUUUAUUUUCUUUAAAAACAUACCUUGGGAUAGUUUCAACUGUCAAGAUAUGAGACAAAAUAUUCUCAAAAAUAGUAGUUCCACUUGGAAAAGAAUUUUUCCUUAUUUUUGUCUUGUUCAAUAGGGUUUUCGUCCAUUUUGGAAUAUUUUUUAUUGAUGCAAAAUGAUGUUGUACCAAAGAGAGAGUAUUUUGCCAAGUACAAAGCUAGAAACUUAGGAGUUGUCAAGAUGGAGAACGAAGGGACAAUAAAUAUCAUUGGUAUCAGUGAUGUCCACAUUAAGACAAGUCUUUCUAUGAAUUGGAGUUAAAGAAUGUGAGACAUGUGGCAAGUUUAAGAUUGAAUUUAAUGUCAAUUAGAAUGCUUGAUGACAAUAACUUUCAUGGCGAUACAAGUGAUUGGAAAAUCACUAAGGGUUCACUUAUUGUAGCUUUUGGAAAAAAGUACAGUACCUUAUAAAAAAUACAAGCUGUAGGCUACGGUGAUUAGAUAAAUGCCAUGAAAAAGGAUUUUAGUAUAGAAUUGUGGCGUAAGAGGCUAAGAGACAUGAGUGAGAAGGGAUUGCAAACUCUCAAGGAAGGAAGUCUUACCCAAGUUCAAAGGUAUUCGAUUGAACUCAUGUAUUGAUUGUUUGGUUGGCAAACAACAUAAAGUUUUUUUUUCUAGUCCACCUUUGCCUAGAAAAUUACAUAUUUUGGAGCAAGUCUAUACAGAUGUGUGUGAUCUAUUGAGGACAAAGAUUAUUGAUGAUACUAUUGAUAUUUAUAGUAUUAGUGGUACAUUAUACUUUGUCACUUUCAUUUAUGACAAUUCUAGUAAAGUUUCAUCAUAUCCUUUGAAGACUAAAGAUCAAGUUAUUGACGUGUUCAAAGAGUUUAAUGUCAAGGUGGAGAAGGAGACUAAUAGAAAGUUAAAAUACAUAAGAUCUGAUAAUGGUGGUGAAUAUAUGGGCUUGUUUGAUGAAUAUUGUAGGAAGCAAGGUAUUAUUCAUGAGAUGAUAGUCCUAAGCACUCCUCAACACAAUAUUAUUGUGGAGAGGAUGAAUUGUACCAUUAUGGAGAAGAUCAAGAGUAUGUUUUCACUUGCCAAAUUACCUAAAAAGUUUUGAGAUGAGGUGUUGAAGAUAGCUAUUGAUCUCAUUAACCUAUCUCCAUGUAUGCCUUUAGAUGAAAAUGUUGCAGUUAAUGUAUAAAUAAGAAAAAAUGUUUCUUACAAACACUUAAGAGUGUUCGAUUGUCAUACAUUCACAUUGUUCUUGUCAUAGAAAGGUCCAAAUUAGAUGGGAAGACAAAGGAGUGUAUUUUUCUUGGAUACCCAUGUGACAAGUUUGGUUACAAGUUAUGGGAUCCAAUGAAGUAAAAGGUGUUCCGAAGUCGAGACAUAACCUUCUUUAAAGAUUAGAAUAUUGAAGAUAUAAAGAAGGUUCUAGUGGUCAAAAAUUCUAUAAAAGUAUUUAUAAAUUAUGACCAAGUCAUCCAUUAUGAGCGCCAUGAUGGAGGGGAAGAAUUGUAAGAAGAAAGGACUGAAGUUGAUGCAGAUUUACUUACGAGAUAAGAAGAGGAGCAAGGAGGAGAGCUAUCUCUAAUAGAGCCUCAUCUUAGAAGGUCUAGUAGAUAGCAUUAAUCUUCACGAAGAUAUCCAUAAGAUGAAUAUAUUAUACUUAUUGUUGUAGGUGAACCAAAAAGUUAUUAAGACAUAUUAAAAAGUGAGCAUACUAAAGAAUGGUUGAUAGCUAUCUAUGAAGAAAUGGAAGUAUUACAGAAAAAUCAAACAUAUGAUCUUGUGGAGCUACCCAAUGAAAAGAAAAUAUUGAAGAACAAGUGGGUUUUCAAGUUAAAGACUCAAGAACAUACUUCAGUGUCAAAGUAUAAGGCCAAAUUAGUUGUCAAAGACUUCAAUCAAGUGCAAGGUAUUAACUUUGAUGAAAUAUUCUCUUUUAUUGUGAAAAUAUCUUCUAUUCGUGUUGCUCUAGGCAUGGCUACCACUAUGUACUUAAAGGUCGAGUAGUUAGAUGUAAAGACAAUAUUUCUUCAUAGUGAUUUGGAAGAGGAUAUUUACAUUGAGCAAUCAAAAAACUUUAAGAUAGAAAGAAAAGAGCAUCUAGUGUGCAAAUUAAAGAAGAGCUUGUAUGGACUAAAGCAAGAGCCAAGAUAGUGGUACAAAAAGUUUGAUUCAUUUAUGACUAAAAAUAGAUACAAAUAUACUUCUACAGACUAUUGUGCAUACAUUAAGAAGUUCAAUAAAAGUUUUAUGAUUCUGUUAUUAUAUGUUGACAAUAUACUUAUCUUUAGGAAAUAUUUGCCAACAAUUAACAGGUUGAAGAAGGAGUUGAACAAGUCAUUUGCUAUGAAGGACAUGGAGCCAGCAAAGCAAAUACAUGGUAUGCAGAUUUUUCGUGACAGGAAAGCCAAGAAGAUUUGGUUGUCAAAAGAAAAAUAUAUCAAGAAAGUGUUUGACAGGUUUAGUAUUUUUGCAAAACUUGUUUGUUCUCCUUUGAUAAAUCACUUUAAACUUUCUACAAAAUAAAAUCCGUCAAGUGAUGAGGAGAAGCAGAAGAUAAAUAGAGUACCUUACACUUCAGUCGUUGGGAGUUUGAUGUAUAUAAUGAUAUGUAUAAGACCAAAUAUUGCAUAUGUAGUGGGUGUUGCAAGCAGAUUUCUUACAAAUCUAGGAAAGGAGCACUGGGCAGCAGUAAAGUAGAUAUUUAGAUAUCUCAAAGGGAGCUCUAAAGUUUGUCUAAGCUUUGGAGAUGGUGCCCUUAUAUUGGCAAGAUAUACAGAUGCUGAUAUGGCCAAAGAUGUUGACAUAGAAGUCUACUUCCGGCUAUAUAGUUACUUUUGUAAGGAGAGCUGCGUCAUGAUAGUCCAGAUUAUAAAAAUGUAUUGCUUUGUCAAUUAUAAAAACUGAAUAUAUUAUUAUUAUAAAAGUUUGUAAAUGUUAUGUGACAUGAAUUAAUCGUUGUAUAAUAAAUCAUGUAAAUUUAAAAUUGACGUAACGAAACUAUUGGUGAUGACCCUUUGAGUUGAGUGGAUAUUGAGGUUGAUGGAAGAUGGGUUGAAAUCAUGACUUGAAUCCUCAAAAGUCGAGAUUUCUAGUGAAGCCUCCUUGUCUUGAAUUCACAAAACGAAGAAGCUAUUCUCUUGGUGCUCAAGGGCGGAUCUUGAAUCCACAAAACCAACGAACUAACUCCUAGAGUCCACAGGGAUGCUGGAGUCCACCAGCAGAAGGGAGAAACUCUCAAGGAGAAGAAACUCACAAAAUUCUAUUCAUAAAAAUAAGUUCAAUGCCCUUGGGCUAUAUGGGGCGUCCUUAAAUAGGCUAGAGCUUGUGAAAAGGGCGCCAACUUUGAAUUUCAAACGAAAUUUAAAAAUUAGGAGGGAAUUACAUUUGAGAAAGUUUUUGAAAUAGAAAUGGGCUUAAAAUAGAACGAAAUAGGCUUUUCUAAAAGGUGGUGUAAAGGCAUGUGACAGUUAUGAAAGGAAAAUGAAUAGAGGAAAGAAGAGAAAUAGAAAGAGGCUUUAAAUAGGCUAAAAUAGGAAGGGUUGAAUAAAGAAUGGGAUUUAUGGUGGCAACAAUAGGAUGAGAUCUAAAAUAGAAGGUAGAUGAGCUAGUGUAAAGGGUUCUAAAAAUAGAAGGGUCUAAAAAUAGAAAGUUCUAAAACUAGAAGGUUCUAAAAAUAGAAAGUUGAUCUUCAAGUCUUGAAGUCUUCUCCGCCAGUGGAUGUGAUAUUGGCUGCAUCAAAAAUUUAUAAAACUAGAAAAUAUCAAUUCUUGGAAUUUUAAAUGUUUAUCAGAGUGAAUAAAUCAAUUAUAAAUCAAUAAAAGAUUCCAAAAAUAGUAAGAAAUUUCCAAGUCGAUCAUAGGGAUGUAAUAUAAUAUCGAGUAAUAUUUCAAAAUUUUUUUAAAAUAAUAUAACUUUUUUAUGAUUAUUUCUUAAUUGAAUGAUAAAUAUAAUAUAUUUAAGAAAUGCAAAAAAUAAAUAAGGUAAUGACGUCAAGUGAUGUCAGUGCCUGAAGAACACGAAUCGGGCGAAAACAGAGUUCUGACCUACGAUUCUUUUGUAAGUGAUUACUAUCAAAUUAAUAGAUCAAAUUUAGUUUUGUAAAAGCUCGAAGAAUCGUAACUCAAGUAAGAAAUAUAUUGGAUGUUGAAAUCGUGUCAAAGAUUACUAAUUUAAAUGAAAAUAAAGUUUAAAAUAGGAAAAACAGAGUUCCGACUUCGCAGCAGCGAUCGCCGGAAUUCUGUGUGUUCAGAAAAGAAAUUGUGCAAUGUCCACGGCCUCAAAGGCUCUCCUUGGACAAAGACGAUGUGGGUGAUCUCUAGAACUUCUUUCGAAGCCCAUAAAUCGGUGGAAUGGAUCGCCAAAUCGUUUUCGGUGGCUGUCACCGAGCGGAACAGAAAUAUGGUGACUUGUGGCUGUCUGGUGACUCACUCAAUGGAGGUGUACUAAAUGGAGGUGGGGCAUGUCUCAAGGGCUUCGUACUCAAGUUAGCGCAAUGAGAAGAGGCCCUUUAUCACAUCUGGUACGCUCUCAGGAGGUGGCGACUCGUCUCCCGGCAGAUCGUCCUCUUCCUAGCGACGGCUUGUUCGUCGAUCAAGCGGAGAUGAUUUCUUCGUUAAGUUCGCAAUAUUUUGUCCAAAAUCUUACACCAAUUUCGGUCACGAUGCUCCACAAAUUGCAUUAACUAAGUUUUUGCUGAAUUUUUUAUGAUUUUUGCAGCUUAAUCGCUCUCCGGAAAUCGCAAUUUCUUCGUUGGUUGUCCGCUUGUGAGAGAGAGAAAGAGGGAGAGAUGAGAUAAGUACUAAAAUGCCCUCAAUGUAUGACAUCAUAAGGAUAAUUUUAUAAUACUCAAUGAGAGGCAUUUUUGGCAUUUAGAAAAUAUGCAAGAAAAAGUAAGGUGCCGGGUUAGUCCCACAUCUGUUUUCUAGGCGAUUUUCAUGCACGUAUAUUAUAGGCACUUCUUUAGCCAUCAAUAGGUACAAAUCAACCACGUGUGUACGAACACUCCUUGCCCCAUGCUCGGCUGGCCACUGGUGACGUGGAAGGGGAGUGACGCACAUGUCAAUCGCUUGAGCUCGCAGUCCUUAGCCGCUCAGCGGCUCUGCUCAAUUGGGCCUCCCACCCGCUUGCGGGCCCGGGUGGCUGGCAGAUUUUUUUACUUUUUUCUUAAAUAUUUUUUUCAUUUCUCUCAACAAAAUAAAAUUAUAAAAUCAUGGAAUUAAGCAAAAAUUCAUAUUAGUCAACUAGAAACUACUUUUCAUAACUUAACACAAAAAUAAGUCUAUUUAUCAUGAGUUAAGACUAAAAAUAUCAUCUUACUAAAUUAUUAAUUCAUGAUAAUGAAAACUUAUCACACCCCCCAACUUAAGUCAUUGCUAGUCCCUUAGUAAUGGAAUUAAAAAUAUAAUUAUCGUUUAGAAAUUUCAGACAUCAUAUUUCAAUACACAAAAUAUAAUUAAAAAUAAUGAACCUCUAGAUAUUUUGAAUUAUUUUAUCAAUUAUUGAAGAAAGAUAUCAAGCUCUUAAAUGUCUAAACACUCCUUGGAAUAAUAAUAUAACUUUCACUUCUUCAGUCUACAUCUUUAUCAUUUCUUUACUCAUAGAUAUAAUUCAUAAGAUGGUCCAAUUAUCAAAAAUCAUCCAAGCAUAAUAUCGAUCCUACCUUUCCCUUCCCUAUGGCUUGAUUUUUUAAGUUUGCACUACAUUUCUUCUUUUUUUUUUCAUGGUAAAUAAGUAACUUUUUCUGUAAACAAAUUUUGACAAUGAGAAUGAUGUUUCACACCCUCCAUGUGUACUCUUCAUUUCCAGGGCUUUCACAUUAUCCACUUAUUUUGUAGCAAGUGUUUAUCAUUUUCAAAUUAUUUUUCACACUACUCUUUUUUUUUUCUAUUUUUUGAAACAAGUGAUUUAUUCUCAGAAGUCCUAUAGAUCAGGGUGUAAAAAUCUCCAUUAAACUCAAAUGAUCAAUCAAAUUUUCUCAUCAAGUAAAUUCUAUCCAUCAAGAUCAUGAAGUAAAAAAUUUGUAAAAUCAAAUCCAUGUUAUCUAUAAUGUAUCCAAGGAGUAUUUCAACAUUUCAGGCUAUUCAUUCAUUCUCUUAACUCAAUAAUAAUCAUCCUAAUAUCCUUUGGUAUCAAUCAGUUUAAUUGAUUUAAUUUUUUCGUGCACAUAAUAUGAUGUAAAAAAUUAGAUAGUUCUGAAAAUUAUGCCUCUAUUUCAGUUCUAUCAAUUCUAUUUUAAGCAACAAUCUAUUUGUAAAAAUAAUAAAUCAAAACUAUCAUUUUCAUAAUAGUAAUUCCGAAUUUCAACAAUAUAUGCCUAAGGGUUUGAAAUGUGAGAAAAAGGUCUCUAAAAUUUUAAGUUUCGAACUAUUUUUAUUUUUUUUUCUGCUGGUUUUUGACAGUCUACACUCUGCACUAUUUUCUAUUAUUUCUAACAUAACUAGGAAAUCAACACUAUAUUUUUUUCAAAAAAUUACUCUUAUAGAUGAUAAAAAAUUACCAACACAUGUUCUUGUUCAGUCUACAACAUUUAGACUUAAUAUCUUCAUCACCUUAGCCCCCCAACUUAAAUUUGACAUUGUCCCUAAUGACACAAAUUACAAAAAAUGUAAUUUUCAAUCAAGUAUGCAUAUAAGUAAAAUUAAGCACGAAAAAUACUAUAAUAAAGGAUCAAGUUCAGGAACAUAUAAUCUUAGGCUCACUUUCAAUUUCCCACUUCGUCUUACACUCUUCCUCUUGCACUUUUAUUCUUUUUUUUUUAAAGAAGAAAAUAAUACAAAAAAAUAGAUGCUGCGAAAUUCAACAAAAGUAAAGCACUAAUUUAAAGAGAACCAUGGGUUGCCUCCCAUACAACAUUGAGUUUAAUGUCUUUAGUUGGACACACUAAUUUCAUUCUCGAAUUUCUUUUAAUAAUAAAAUCUCUUUUUCUGCAGGGCAUUCAUAUUCUAUGUAAGGUUUAAGCCUCUGUCCAUUUACUUUAAAACUAUGAUCAUUUUUAAUAUCUCUAAUCAUUUUAGCUCCAUGAUCAUAUAUUUCUUCCACCACAUAAGGUCCUGUCUAUUUUGAUUUCAAUUUUCUUAGAAAUAGUUUCAAUCUAGAAUCAUAUAACCAUACUUUUUAUCCAACUUCAAAAAUUUUUCUACUGAUGUACCUAUCAUAAAAGAUUUUAGUUUUUUCUUUAUAAAUUCUAUGAUUUUCGUAAGCUUCAUUCCUUAACUCUUUUAAUUCAUGUAGUUGAAAAAUUCUGUGCUCACCAGCUAAUUUUUCAUUCAUACAUAAAUUUUUUAUAGCCCAUAAUACUUUAUGUUCUAUUUCCACCAGAAGAUGACAUGGUUUCCUAAAAAUGAGACGAAAUGGAAACAUACCUAUGGGAUUUUUAUAAGCUGUUCUAUAUGCCCAUAAUGUAUCUUGUAAUUUUGUGGGUCAAUCCUUCCUAUCUGGUCUAACUAUUUUUCUCAAAAUUCUCUGAAUUUCUCUAUUUGUUACUUCAGCUUACCCAUUUGUUUGGAGAUGAUAUGGAGUGGCUACUCUAUGAUGUACUCUAUUUUUUUUCAAUAGUUCCCUGAAAUGUCUAUUUGUAAAAUAUGUUCCUCCAUCACUAAUAAUCACUCUAGUACAUCUAAAUCUUAAAAAAAUAUUUUCCUACACAAAUUUCAUCAUAAUGUUAUGAUCAUUAGUUCUAGUAAGAAUAGCUUCCACCCAUUUAGACACAUAAUCAACAACAAGCAAGAUAUAUUCAUAUUUUUAGCUGAUGGGAAUUGAUCCAUGAAAUCUAUACCCCAUACAUCAAAAAUUUUAACAACUAACAUAUUACUCAUAGGCAUUUCAUCUCUUUUAUUUAAGUUACCUAUAGAUUGGCAUGAAAUGUAUGUUUUAUUAAAUUCUAUAACAUCUUUAACUAUUGUAGGCCAAUAAAAACCACAUUGAAAAAUUUUCACAGCUAUUUUUCUACUAGAAAAUGUCUUCCACAGUUAAAUGAAUGACAUAUUUUAAGAAUGCUAUGAUAUUCUUCUUCAGGAACACAUCUUCUAAGAAUUUGAUCAUUACCCAAGUAAUAUAAAUUAAGAUCAUGCCAAAAAUAAUUUCUAAUCUUAGUAAAGAAAUGAUUUUUUCUAUUCUUAUCCCACUGUUCUGGAAUUUUUCUAAAAAUCAAAAAAUUAACAAUAUGUGCAUACCAUAGUGAUGGUUGAUGUUGAGCUCCCAUCAAUUACUUAUUUGGAAAUGUAUCUAGUAAAGGUACUGUAUUUGUUCCUAUAUCACUCAAUCUAAAAAGAUGGUCAGCAACAAUAUUUUCGAAUCCUUUUCUAUCUUUUAUUUCCAAAUCAAAUUCUUGCAAUAAUAAUAUCUAUCUUAAUAAAUGUGGCUUUGCAUCUUUCUUAUUAAGUAAAUAUUUUAAUGCUACAUGAUCAGUAUAAAUGAUGAUUUUAGCUCCUAAAAUACAUGAUCUAAAUCUUUCUAAUAAAAAUACUACGGCUAACAACUAUUUUUCAGUUGUGAUAUAAUUUAAUUGAGCAUCAGAAAUAAUUUUGCUAGCAUAUGAAAUAACUAUGGGUUUUGACUCUUUUUUUUGUCCUAAAACAACUCUUACUACAUAAUUUGAUGCAUCACACAUUAUUUCAAAUGGAAGAAACCAAUCAGGAGCUUGUAAAAUAGGUGCCUCAAUAAGUAAUCUUUUUAUUUUAGAAAAAAAUUCAAAACAUUUCUCAUCAAAAUUAAAAGACACAUCUUUAGAUAAUAACAUGAUGAGAGGUUUAGAAAUUUUCAAAAAAUCUUGAAUAAAUUUUCUAUAAUAACUUGCAUGUCCUAAGAAAGAUAUAAUCUGUUUUAAUGAAUUUGGGGGUUACAUUUUAGAUAUAAUAUCAAUUUUCACUUUAUCUACCUCCAAACCUCUUUCACUCACAAUAUGUCCCAACACAACUCAUUCUCUAACCAUAAAAUACGAUUUCUCCUAACUCAAAACUAACUUUUUCUCUAUACAUUUCUUUAGCACAUGCUGUAAAUGAUUUAGACAUUCAUGAAAUGAUUCACCAAAAAUAGAAAAAUCAUUCAUAAAAAUUUCCAUGCAUUUUUCAAUCAUAUUAGAAAAAAUAGACAACAUAUAUCUUUGAAAUAUAGCUGGAGUAGUACAUAAUCUAAAGGGCAUGCGUUUAAAAACAAAAGUACCAAAUGGACAAGUAAAAGUCAUUUUUUCUUAAUCUAAAGGAUUUAUAUAAAUUUGAUUAUAACCAAAAUAUCCAUCUAUAAAACAAAAGAAUCUUUUUCCAGCUAGUUUUUCAAGAAUUUGAUUAGUAAAUGAUAGAGAAAAAUGAUCUUUUCUAGUUACUAAAUUUAAUUUUCUAUAAUCAGUACAAACCCUCCAACCAGUGGUUAAUCUUGUUUGUAUUUCCUCCCUAUUUUCAUUUUUUAUAACCAUGAUUCCUAAUUUCUUUGGUACCACCUGUGUAGGACUAACCCAUUUACUAUCUGAAAUAGGAUAAAUAAUAUCAGCAGGCAACCAUUUUAAAAUUUCUUUUUUACCACUUCCAUCAUGUUAGGAUUUAAUCUUCUUUGUGGUUCUCUACUUGGUCUAGCUCCUUCCUCUAAAUAUAUAUUAUGUUUACACAUUCAUAUCAAUGCCUCUAAGAUCAUCUAUUUUCCAGUCAAUAGCUUUCUUAUUUUUUUGAAUUACUUCUAUUAAUUCUUCUUCUUGCUCAUUAUUCAAAUCAGCUACAACUAUGAUAGGGAAUGAGUUAUUUUCCUCAAGAAAUACAUAUUUUAAAUUAGAAGGAAGAGGUUUUAGCUCUAAAUUUGUGUGAUCUUCUUCUUUCUUCUCCCCUAUAUUUAAGUUUUCAAUUUCCUUUAAUUCUUCCAUCACACAAUCAUCAAUAAUAUCUAGACCAUCAAAAUCAUCUAAAACUUUUAUGGUAUGACAAUCAUACACUUGAGAUUUCUUAAGAUCAUUUGAUACCUCAAAGAUUUUAAUUUCUACUGAUUGAUCUCCACAUGAAAUUUUUGCAAUACCUAUGGGGAAAUCAAUAUUCAUCUUUACUGUAUGUAAGAAUGGUCUCUCUAAGAUAAUUGAGGUAUCAUUAACUGUCCAUUAAAAUUCAUUUCUAGUACUACAAAAUCAGUUGGAAAUUUACAUCCUUUCACUAUUACUAUCACAUUUUCUAAAAUAACUUUAGGAUUUUUAAUUGAUCUAUCAGAAAAUUGUAAUGUGAUAGUAGAUGGUUUAAGAUCAGAAAUAUUAAAUUUAUCACAAAUACUUGUAGAUAAUAAAUUAAUAUUAGCACCGGUAUCAAGCAAUACAUUAUGAAAAAUAAAUCUACCAAUAUCACACGAAAUUAAAGGAGCACAAAUAUCUUUUGAUUUAUAUGAAACUUGAUUUAAUAACAAAGCACUAGCAUGCAUAGAUAAUUUUUCUACUCUAGGUGCUCUCUUUGGUGUACAAAUUUCUUUUAAAACUCUAGCAUAUUCAAGAAUAUAUUCAAUUGCAGUAAGAAAGGAAGACUAAUUUACACAUCUUGUAAAAUUUUCUUUAUUUUUUUAUUAUGUUCCUUUUUCUUUCUUUGUCUAGGUUCUAGAACUUUAGGAAAUGGAAUUUUCAUUCUUUCUUUCAGAUUUUCAUUGGUAGAAUCUAAAAAUUCUUUAUUUUCUUCUUCUUGAUUUUGUUUUAGACUGUCCACCUUUUCCUCUUCUUCUACUAUUUGGGGAUAAAGAUUAGGUAAAAUUUUUCCACUCCUUAAUACAUUUAUUGUCCUAACAUUAUCAUUUCGUGAGUUUUUUCCUAAGUUCAUGCCACUAGACUCUCCUUGUUGAAAUCUAACAGUUGGGCAUUUUCUUGGAUUUUCUAUGGGCUGACUAAGUAGUUGUCCCUCUUUUCUCCUAUUCCCAAGAGCCUCUAUAAUUUGUUUUUGUUACAACAUCCUUUGAUUUAUAGUUUGCUGCAUCAUUUGACUCAUUUGCUCCAUCAUUUCUAUAGCAUCAGAUUGAGUAUGAGAGGGUUGAAUUUUUUGAAAUCUGUUUUCUUAUUUUGGACAAAAUUCAGAAUUUAAAUUGGGUCUAAGUGCUUUGAGAUUUUAAAUAUUAUUUGGGUCUCUCCAUGAAAAGUUAUAAUCAUGUUAUGAUUAUAAGAAUUAAGAAAAGGCUCCCAAUUUCUAUUAAAAUCGUGGGUUAUUUGUACUUGUUCUUGCAUAGGCUGAAAUGAUUGAUCUCAAUUAUAACAUUGAAAUUUGGAAUGCUCAUUUUCACCAUGUAUAGGAUAUGAAUUAUUUGAACUAAAUUGAGGAUUAGGAAGCUUCUAAAAAUUUUCAAUAAAUACAUCAAGCUUAUCUAAUUUUGUAUUAAUCUGAGUAACCUCAUUUCUUAGAUUAAAAUCAUCUUGAUAAUAGAAUUUAUACAUUCCUCUCCACUUAUCCCUAUCAUAUAACUCAAAAGAAGUUUGAUCUCUCAAAUUUUCACUUAAAUUUUCAUAAAGGCUAUAAAUCUCAUCAGAAGUCUUCUCUAUAAAUAGUCCUCCACAUAUAGAAUCAACCAUAUUUCUAUGUUAUUUUAAUAAUCCAUCAUAAAAAAUUCUAUUGAGUUGCCACUUAGGUAUAGCAUGAUGAGGACAUUUUCUAAGUAAAUCUUUGAAUUUUUCUCAUAUUUCAUGCAAAGUUUCUCUUGACCUUUGAGCAAAAUCCAUAUAUAUUUUCUCAUGUUUUGAGUUUUUCCUAAAGGGUAAAAUUUUCAAAGAAAAGCAUGUUCUAUAUCUUUCCAACUAGUUAAUUCUCUAUCUAAGGUAGAUAGCCAAUAACUAGCCUUAUCUCUAAGUGUGUGAGGAAAUAAUUUCAUCUUAAUAAUUUUCGGUGUAACUUGAGGAAGAUUAAAUAAAUCACAUAUCAUAUGAAAUUUUUCUAAAUGCUGAUGAGGCUCCUCUAAAGGUAAUCUAUGAAAAUUAGGAAGCAUUUGGAAAAUUCUUGGAUUUAUUUCAAAUUUAAUAAUGGGUGCUAAUAGAACUCUAAUAUUAUAUACUCUUUGAAAUGAAUCAGGGAUAUAAUGAUUUUUCAUGGCCAUAGGAUUGUUCUCAAUUUGACUUGUGUUACCUUCAGGAUCCAUCGAAAUUAAUUUUUCUUUAGAAUUUUUAAUUUUUGUCAAGAUAAUGAGAGGAUUCUCUAGUCUUGGAUGUAAAGAUCUUAUACCAUGCAUAAAAAUAAAUAAAUUCGAGGCAAAAAAUUUUAAUAAUUGUUACCCUCCUUCAGUUUGCUCAUAUCCUUGCUCUGUUACUCUUCGUGCUACUCUUUCUUUUUUUUUUCUAUAAGAUAAAAAAUAAAAACAAGAGUUAUAUAUAUUUUUUUAUAUUCUAAAAUAAAAAUAUAAAAUUACCAAAUAUUAUGUAAUACAUUUCUAGCAACAAUGCCAAAAUUUGACCUGAAUUAAUCGUUGUAUAAUAAAUCAUGCAAAAUUUAAAAUUUAUAAAACUAGAAAAGACCAAUUCUUGGAAUUUUAAAUGUUUAUCAGAGUGAAUAAAUUAAUUAUAAAUCUAUAAAAUAUUCCAAAAAUAGUGGGAAAUUUCUAGGUCGAUCAUAGGGAUGUAAUAUAAUAUCAGGUAAUAUUUUACAAUUUUCCUGAAGGAAUAUAAUUUUUUUAUGAUUAUUUUUUAAUUAAAUGAUAAAUAUAAUCUAUUUAAUAAAUGCGAAAAGGAAAUAAGCCAAUGACGUCAUGUGACAUUAGUGCCUGAAGAACACAAAUAUGGCGGAAAUAGAGUUCCGACCUAUGAUUCUUUCGUAAGCGAUUACUAUCAAAUUAAUAGAUCAAAUUUAGUUCUAUAAAAGCCCGAAGAAUCAUAACUCAAGUAAGAAAUAUAUUGGAUCUUGAAAUCGUGUCAAAUAUUACUAAUUUAAAUGAAAAUAAAGUUUAGAACAGGAAAAACAGAGUUCUGACUUUGUGGCGGCAAUCGCCAGAAUUCUACGUGUUUAAAAAAGAAAUCAUACAAUGUCCAUAGCCUCAAAGGCUCUCCUUGGACAAAGACGAUGUCGGUGAUCUCUAAAACUUCUUUUGAAGCCCAAAAAUCAGUGGAAUGGAUCGCCAAAUUAUUUCCGGCGGCUAUCACCUGGCGGAACAGAAAUACGGCGACUUGCAGCUGUCCGGCGACUGUCACUCGACGGAGGUGUGCUGGAUGGAGGUGGGGCGCGUCUUAGGGGCUUCGUCCUUAAGUCAGCGCAGUGAGAGGAGGCCUUUUAUCGCAUUUGGUAUGCUCUCAGGAGGAUGCGACUCGUCUCCUGGCGGAUCAUCCUCUUCCUGGCGACGGCUUGUUCAUCGAUCAAGUGUAGAUGAUUUCUUCGUUGAGUUCGCGAUGUUUUAUCCAGAAUCCUACACCAAUUUCGGCCAUGAUGUUCCGCGAAUCGUGUUGACUAAGUUUUUGCUGAAUUUUUUAUGAUUUUUGCAGCUUAAUCGCUCUCCGGAAAUCGUGAUUUUUUUGCCGGUUGUCUGCCUGCGAGAGAGAGAAAGAGGGAGAGAUGAGAUAAGUACUAAAAUGUCCUCAAUGUAUGACGUCAUAAGGAUAAUUUUAUAAUGGUCAGUGAGGGGCAUUUUUGGCAUUUAAAAAAUAUGCGAGAAAAAGUAAGGUGCCGGGUUUAGUCCCACAUUGGUUUUCUGGGCAAUUUUCACGCGCAUAUAUUAUGGGCGCUUCUUUAGCUAUCAAUAGGUACAAAUCACCUGCGUGUGUACGAACACUCCUUGCCUCACGCCUGGCUGGCCACCGGUGACGUGGAAAGGGAGUGACGCACAUGUCAGCCGCUUGAGCACCUAGCUCGUGGUCCGCUCCGGCAGCCGCUUGAGCCUCAAGCUCACGGUCUGGUCCUUAGCCACUCGAGCCUUGAACUCGCAAUCCUUAGCCGCUCAGCGGCUCCACCCGACUAGGCCUCCCACCCACUUGCAGGCCCAGGUGGCCGGCAGAUUUUUUGCUUUUUCCUUAAAUAUUUUUUUCAUUUCUCUCAACAAAAUAAAAUUAUAAAAUCAUGUAAUUAAGCAAAUUUUCAUAUUAAUCAAUUAGAAACUACUUUUCAUGACUUAACACAAAAAUAAAUCUAUUUACAAUGAGUUAAGACUAAAAAUAUUAUCUUACUAAAUUAUUAACUCAUGAUAAUGAAGACUUAUCAUUAUGUAUGAAAGAAUUCUCAUGAAAAUUAGGACUAAUGCAAGAAGAAUAUGUGGUCUUUUGCAAUAGUUAAAGUGCUAUUCAUUUGAGCAAGAACCCCACAUUUCAUUCAAAGUUUAAGUAUAUCAAUGUGUUACCACUAGAUCAAGAAUGUAAUUGAAGAGAAAUAAUUACAGAUCAAGAAGAUUCACACAGAUAAUAAUGGAGUAGAUAUGUUGACGAAUACUUUGCCUAAAGAGAGGCAAGAGAUUUGCCGGCAAUUGAUCAACAUGCACGCUCCUUGAGGAUCAUGAAGACAAUCUCCCUCAUGAGCUACUAAUGGGAGAGGUUGUUGGGUGCAUGGCUCAUUAAAUGGCCACGUCUGUGUCAGCUCAUAUAGCAAUAGAGAAGGCCACAUUUAAUGCGGAGGAGAGAGAUAGGAGAAGACGAGAUGUCUAAAAUGGCCCAUGAUGUGGAUUACUUCUCACACCCCACAAUGGCCUAGUAAUGGGUAGGCAAAACCAGAAGGGAGAAAUGGUUCAGCUGCAAAGCACAUGGCAUGUAACACAACUUACACUUUACCUCACUCUCUCUCCCCCCUUCUUUAUAUAUCUAGGGUGUUAAGUCUCGUUGGGCUUCGACAUUUGUAUGCAUAUUUGAGCAAACAUAUGGAGCCUUUUAAAAAAAGAUGACAUAUGGAUAAUGUUGGCUAUUCACAAUGCACUCCAUUUGUGACCUAUGAUCUAGGGAAAAGUAACGUUAACUUCUUAUGGAUUAGGACAUAGAAGCCAAGUUUGGCUAGAAAGAUAAGUUUGUCUUGAGUUGAUAGUAAUUUGAUUUCUCGUCACAUUGCUUUGUCGACAUAGUCAUUCAAUACGAUGGCCUCAUAAUCUCCAUUCUCUCUGUCUCUCUAUCUCUCUAUCUCUCUUUGUCUCUGUCUCUGUCUCUCUCUCUCGCUCUCUCUUUCACCUCUCAGACACAUAUAAGAAUUGGGUCGGACAUCACAGGGGAAUGUUUCACGCCCACUUUCCAACCGCUUGCGGGAUAUUGGGCUCUACGUUGGUUUAGAGAGGCUAGGGAUGCUCCAUACCUAUUGAUAAUUCUAACUACUCCGGGACAGCACUAAUGAUUUUAUAUUACACAACAAAUUCUGUUUGUUAGAAACAACAGUCUAACCACCAAUUCCAUCGCAAUGUUUCAACUGGACUUUGUGACUAUUAUUCAAUCCUACUAAAAAGCCUACAUAUACAUCAGCAUAUUAAAACAUGACAUAUAAGGGUAAUGCCUAAAAUGUGUUGGCAUAACUAAAUACUUGAAUUAUCUCAAAUGAUUAGAUGAUUACGAAGUUGAUUGAGUAAUACUUGGCUUUACUUAGUUAAGCUAUUUAAUGUCCUGUUGGUAUCUGAUUUUAUUAAUAAUUUGAAGUAUAUACAUUGUUGGAUGACAAGGCAUCUAAACAGGACUCCCUUUUCAUUGAAGGGUAAUACAUCAAAGGGAAAAAUAUAUUUAUCAGAAAAGUUUUGUUUUGUCACUAGUAAUAUGCAUUCCUUCUAUGAGAUUACUACUCCCUGUUCCAUGAGGUCAUUGUAAGUAUUUUAGCUUUUGAGUUCAAAAAUGAACAAAUUCAUUGAGUUAUAGAAACCAUAGCAUUAACCUUUUUUUCAUGUAACUAAAUGUCGAAGUGAAGAACAAUAAAAUAUGUUAAAGAGUUAAUGUAAGGUGGUUUCCAAUAGUGUUGUUUCCAUAAAAAAGUUACAAGGAAGCAUGAACAGAAAAGUAUUUGUUUUAUAAUCUAACUUUAGACAAGAAAGCAUCUCCUAGCUUCAUAAAUGGGCAUGUUUCGAUUAUUCUCCCUUUUCAUCUUAUUGAUGCAGUAUUGACAUGGACAUUAAGUGGCAUUCCUCAUAUGAUAAAAGUCUUCAUGCAAGUUCAGUUGAUUGAACUCAACUAUUCUCUCUUUCAUUCUUUGUAGAACCACUUAGAUAAUUGAAAACUCUUAACUAUAUUAUAUAACUUAUGUGAGUGUCACUGGGAAGAAUGUAUGCUCAUAUGAUAUGAUUAUAUUGCUUGAAAUGUAUCAAUGAAUGACAAUCAGCACAAGACAAGGUUUCCCUAAAAUCAAAGUUUAUACCCAGAUGACGUUAAGUUUACAAGGCAAAAUAGAUGAGUAACCAUAGUUCAAUGGUAGGAAUGUAAAGAAAGAUGUUUAAAGUAACCCGUUGCUCCAUCAAUUAGAAUGGGGAUGCAAAAAUGUGGCGGUGAUGCCAAAAGUCUCUUAUUGGUGGUGAAAAACAUGUUAAACUGUGAGGAAGGAAAGGCUAUGGGUAACACAUUGUUCCCUCUUGUGUUGGGAAUGGGCUUGCAUCUAUAAAUUAUCUACUUUGUUUCUAAUGAUCACCUCUUGUCUUCUGGCUGCCCUUUUUAUGUAAUGAAGUUGCCACAAGAGUAUCAAACUUAGCUAACCAAACUUUGAUAUGUUCAAAAAUUUUUCUCACAAAUCGAGAAGAAAGGGGUUAAACGAAAUGAUUUAUGAUAAGUCUUCAAUAUUAUGAGUUAAUAAUAUAGUGUUAUCAUAGUUUUAGCUAUAACUCAUGAUAAAUAGACUUAUAUUUGUGAUAAAUUAUGAAAAGUGGUUUCUAGUUAGUUAAUAUGAAUUUUUGAUUAAUUACAUGAAAUUAUAUGAAUUUAUACAAUUUUAUAAUUCUAUUUUUUGAGAUAAUUGUAAAAAGAGUAAAAUAAAAAUUAAAAAGUUGAUCUCACAAGUAGGUUGAAGGCUCAAUUGGGUGGCUAAGGAUUGCGAGCUUGAGGCUCAAGUAGCUUAGUGCGAACUGCGAGCAUGAGGCUCAAGUGGCUGACGUGUGCGACACUCCCCUUCCACGUCAUUGGUGGCCAGCUGGGCAUGGGGCGUCCUCUUGCUGUGUUGACUAGAAGACGAAGCCCCUAAGAUGUGCCCCACCUCUAUCUAACUUAUCUUCAUUAGGUGACAACCAUUGAAGGGUUGCAAAUCACAAUUUUUCUACUUUGCAAGGUGAUAGUUGUCAGAGACAAUUUAGCAACACAUUAUAUUGAUUUCUAGACUUCACAAAAAAAUUUAAAGAUUACCCACAUCGUCUUUGUCCAAGGAGAGCCUUCGAGUCAUAGACAUUACACAAAUUUCCUUCUAAACACGUAGAAUUCUGGCGAUUAUUAUUGCAAAACCAAAACUCUAUUGUUUCUUACUUUAAACUUUAUUUUCAUUUAAAUUAGUAACAUUUGACACGAUUUCAAAUUUUAAUAUCCUUCAUAAUUGAGUUAUAAUUCUUCAGGCUUUUACAUAACUUAAUUUGAUCUAUUAAUUUGACGAUAACCAUUUAUGUAAGAAUCAUAGGUCGAAACUCUAUUUCCACUUGAUUCAUGUUUGUCGGGGCACUAAUGUCACUUUGAUGUCAUAGCCUUUCCUUUUGUGCAAAUUCUUAAAUGUAUUAUAUUUAUUUUUCAGUUUAAAAAAUCAUAUAAAAUCAUAUUCCUUUAAAAAAAUUUUGAAAUAUUACCUAAUAUUAUAUUACAUCCCUAUGAUCAACUUAAAAAUUUUCAACUAUUUUUAGAAUAUUUUAUUUAUUUAUAAUUAAUUAAUUAAUAUAUAUUUAAAAUUUUAAAAAUUAGUAUUUUCUAGUUUUAUAAAUUUUAAAUUUGCACGAUUUAUUAUAUAAUGAUUAAGUCACGUCAGCUUCCUUUACUAUAAAGUCAUGGCCAAGGAGACAACUAUGAAUAAUAUUUCUGGACGAUACAUUGAGUGGAAUGCAAAUCCAUGGGAAAUCAGAUAACUAUGCAAAAAAAGAAAAUAUGUGGAAGUCAUGUAGAUAGAGGACAAAAGGAAACAGCUGGCAAUGUCUCGACAAGCGGCUCAUUCCCAACAAGGAAAUAAUAAUGCUUUUAAAUCAGGCGACAGUGAGCUCUAGAGAAAAUCUUCAAAGGCAUAAGUUAAAUGUUCAAUGGCUGAGAAAGAUAAACGACCCAUAUAGUUCACUGAACUAGGAUUUUACUUAUUCCAGGACAGGAAUUCAGAAUGUAAAGUUAAAAACCAAAGUCUGAUGUGACUGAGGCAGAAUGAAGCCGUAAUUCAAUUGAUAAGAGAUCGAUGUAAAUAAGCAUCCUCUCAUUGAUUUAUUGAAGAAACGGCGCAACAUGGCAGGUCUUGGAGGUGCCCGUUAUUCUCCUGCAAGCAAGACGUGAUCCCCUCCUCUACGCCUUAGAACGGAUAACAGCUUCCUCCACGUCAGCAUUCACAAAGACGACUGAGCAUCCCAGGCGGCAGGAUGGGCGCUCCACAUCCAGGCUGCACGGGCAAGACAUGAUCUUGUAGGCCGAUCUUGGGAAUUCAUCAGAUUUGUAUAUGGCGAACCUACUAUUGUGAGGACCAAUGCUGUCGGAUACUGAUCCGCCCGUCGUCAGGCUCUCCUUCUCGACUCUCCACACUGUGGACUCAGUGCACUGAGUAGGCGCCGCAAACAUGGCAUAGAACGUCCCCCCAACUCUCAUGGUUGAUCUGUCCGGGUCCUCUGGGAAGAACAUGACGGGCAGCCCCCUGGCCACCUCCGAUUCCUCCCGGGCCACGUACAGUGGGCACGUCUCGUUGAGGGACACCAGAUUCAGCCCGCCGCCAGUAGGACCGAAGAUCGCCGGGAGCACGUAGUACUGGUGGCCCCGUUUGAGUACAUUUCCUCCAUUGUCGAGGACAGGAUCGGAGAUGAUCGCGGCAUGGGAGGUUGCCAGGAGGAGUGACAAAAGGAGGACGAAUUCCAUGGCUUGGAAUAGAGUGAAUCUUGCUAUUAGGAAACUAGCUGCAAUA